Molecule: long non-coding RNA, 62096 nt
Filed under: Triticum aestivum (bread wheat)
Lineage: Eukaryota; Viridiplantae; Streptophyta; Magnoliopsida; Poales; Poaceae
Description: long non-coding RNA (TAES_LNC008575)
Rfam family: MIR1120/MIR1122 microRNA precursor family (bases 28102-28216)
Source: RNAcentral
AGGUGCUUCCUUUGCACCCACAGCUUGCUCCUUUGUUGUUGCAUAGUAUUCUCCUUGGAGUAGUUGAUUGAUAUACUAAUACUCAUGGAGUGCAUGCGGAAUCAUUACUGUUGCGGAUACUGCGAAAUGUGGUUGCUCGUGCGAGGAAUUGGCAUAUGUCAGUUGUCUGUUGUUGCACCUAUUGGCAUAGAUCAGUUUUGGGAGUUUGCCAUAUAAGAUCAGGAUGUAGCCUGCACUCUUGUGGAUAAUAUGUUUGUUCAUGUGUGAUUGCUCCGCUUUUCGAGCAUCUGUACUUUGACAUGAAUUGCGUGCACUUUAAGAGGAUUACUUGGGUAUUACUCCCUCCGUAAAGAAAUAUAAGAGCAUUUAGAUCACUACUUUAGUGAUCUAUAGUGAUCUAAAUGCUCUUAUAUUUCUUUACAGAGGGAGUAGUUUAUAUUACUCCUAUGGUCAGGUGAUCAUCGCUAUUAUGUUGAUUGGAGAUGACUGAGAUAUCUCUUGGAUUGAAAUAGCAUAGCAGCAUGAUCUGUUAGAUGUUGGCACUGAAAAUUGGAUAUGUUAGUUAUUGUGUAGAUUGUUUUUGAUUGAAUGCUAUAAUUGAAUUGCUGUCCAUUUGCCCAUGGCACAAUUUAUGUAGUUUGAGAUAUCUGUUCAAGUUAAAAUUGUGCGCAUUCAUAGUGUUUGCCCCAUGGCCUCUAUGCUGACCUGCGUAUCAUGCACAUGCUUGGAAUUGAGUUAGAAAUAUCUGUUGAAGUUCGAAUUCGCAUGGUUGUUAUGGUGGACCACACCUAUGACUGUCAAAGGAGGUCACUUGGAAUUGAUUGUCACUAAAGAGAGCAUGAAGGUGUUUCUCUUAGAAUUGAACUAUGGGUAACCUAGGUACAUUUAACUGUUCUUAAAAUCAUAGCCAUUUGAAAAUCUGAUAGCAUCUUUGAAGAAAAAUUGCUCAGUGACAGUCGUGUUGACUUUGAGUUCUUGUUAGAAUAGCUAUUUUUUGGUUUUCGCAGAUAGUGCUUAUGAAAGGGCAAGGGCAGUACCACCAGAGGUGGUUUUCCUUGCUAGCAUGGCAAGUAGUGUCUUUCAUGGUUCACCAUUCAUAUCGCCCCACGAACAUAUAAUGCUGUGUGGAAGCUAUGUCAGCAGUCAGAAUCCCUGUUGUGUCAUGAUACGAGAACGCAUGGUCACAAGGCUGUACAGACUGAGAAUGUGAUUCUCAUUGGAUAGCAAAAGCUUGAAAACUUGGUGUAGUUCCAUUUAGUGCUGCCGCCAGAACUAAGGAUAUAACAUUACUGCCUAAGAGGUUUCAGUUCCUACUUGUUUGGGAUGACUAGGACUUCUAUCGUGAAAGCUCAAAUAAAUGUUAAUUUUUUUUGGUUUAUUUUGGAAAUGAAAGGCUAGCAAAAUUCGCAGGUUCAACUCCUCUGAUAUUUGUGAUUUAAUUGAGAAACUAUCGUAAAGGCUGCAUGGAAUUGGCGGUGCAAGUAACUGAUUUUUACAUAGUCGCGAUGUUAGAGUGCUGAAUUUGACAAGUGGUUGCAGUACUGCCAGUGCAAAAUUUUGCAUCCCCAUAUGUCUCUGUGACUAGGAGCCCGUUGGUGGAUAGAAAAUUGAAGAGAACCCUCCCUUACCAUAUUAGAGGCUUUGGAAAGUAUGGGUUAUUUCCUGUACAUUGCUACUUAAUAGUAUGAGAUCUCAGACAAGGUUUGCAUGCAACUUCUAAAUAUGAGUUCAUUUUUGCUUGUUUCUCUCUAUCUCCUGUUAUGUGUAGCAAAUUAGCUCAUGAAUGAUAGUUCCACAGUUAUGAUUUGCUGUUCUAGUUUGUUGUUACUGAUUUUGUUUACAAGAAACUCUGAUAUGUUUAUAUCGUCUAUAGAUUGUUUUCAUUAGUAUUUGGACAUUGACAUUGUCUUAAAACAUAUGGUCCAAUAGAAGGUUAAUGUGUACUCCCUCCGUCCUAAAAUAAGUGUCUCAACCUUAAUACAACUUUGUACUAAAGUUAGUACAAAGUUGAGACACUUAUUUUGGGACGGAGGGAGUAUAUAUGAUACUGAACUAAAACCACGACCCUUAUUUUGGAACAGAGGGAGCAUAUAUCAUCAGCUGAUUUCUCAAAUCACUUUUCUUAGUUUACAGAAUAUCUUUUGCAAUUUAUAGGAAAUAUGAUGUUAACCUUUAUUUUCCUCAAACAGGGUGUAUGCGAGAAUAAGACUCUGGAAUUUUACAUUAUCAGCUAUGACGACAUUGGUGGAGUGAGUUGUCGACGAGUUAGUGAGAAUAGGGGGCAAAACUCAGGCUACUCCCCUGUCUUCUGGACUACAGAUGCUACAUUUCUUGAACCACCAUUUUCUGAACGGGAGCUGGAUCGUUAUAGUUGCCUUGAGCAUAUUGGAGUCGUUACUUGUGGCCAUACAGAGACUUGGAACAAGGCAGUCUCUCGGAUACUGUGCAUCAAUUCAAGUUUUGACCUGGUUCAUCCUCAUCUGUUAGCUCCCUUUGAUGAUACCAGGAAUGUAGAGGGGAGGAUUUGGCUUUAUGAAGAUGGAACCUUUGGGUUCGGAUUCACUGGAAGUAAUUCAAUUAUAGAUCUGAAGCAUGUCUCCAUGGAUGGUUGUAUUAUUGAUACAUAAUCCUAAAGAUAUGUCCUUCUGGCAUGUAAUUGUUGCUAGGACUAGGAAGCCAUCUGUACAUCAUUGUUAGGAAAAAAAAUUGCAUCUGGCAUGAAGCAUAUUGCUUCCAGUUGUUGUACUACUACUAUAGAUGGCAAUUCGCCAGACCUGGCCCUUUGGUCUUGUACUUGUUCGUAGGAUAACCGUGUAUCCUGAUACUGCACUGAAUGGUGGUCCCUUCUGGCAUUUACUUGUUGCUAGAAUACCCUUGUAACAUUAUUACAAAAUUUAAUUCUCAAUAAAUUGGAGUUGUUACUUCUUCGUAGGUGCUGUUUUGUUGUCCCAUUUUAGGUGAAUGCUGUGCCGUUAAGGGCAGUCUUGUAAAACUUUGCAACUUCCUGUGCAAGUCAUCUGAUAUUGAAUGUUAAUGUUAUCUCAUGAUAAUAGAGAAGGUUAAUGUUGCCUUGUUUUCUUGUUUAUUUAAGGUUUUUGCUUUUUGUCAAAUGAACAAACUGGCUCUUGGUGUUGUAGAAAAGAUAUCAAGUGAUUCUUAUGGUAACAGUACUGUAUUAUAAUACUAGUACCACUUUUUGCUCAGCUAUCAAAAUAAUUGAUUCACCAAUGUAUCAGCUUAGCACUUCAGUUCAACAGCGCUGUGUGGAUAGGUAAACAGGUAAUGUUCUACUCUUGCAUAUAGUUUCGUAUUACUUGCAGUUACAUUUCUCAAGAGCAUAUAUCCCUGUGCUCCAUUCUCGAGAGGUAGUUUGCCUGUCAGAUCUCUGCAUAUAAUUUAAGUCGCUUGGUAUCUGGUGGUAAGUGGUAACAGUGAUUUACACAAUCUUAAGUUUCCAUUUCUUGUAUAUAAAUGCUGAUAUACUUGUCUUUCUAAUAAACUUGUAUCGUCUAUCUUUCUCCUCUAGGUGUAGAUUUGCUUAUCAUGAGCCCUCUUCUUCAGCGCAAGUCGCCAUGUGGAGCCCAGUAGUGAAAGGCCUGAGGACGCCUAGCUGUUUUUGUGGAAAUGCCUGUACAUGUACAUCACAUACGGUCAGCAAUUCAAGACCAGUGUGCUGUGUGCACUGUCUGCAGUAAUUAGUAGUGAUUACUACUUCCCUGGUAGAAUAUGGUACUGCCAGUCUGCCACUUUGCCAAACAGUAGGAAAACGUAUAGCUAAGAAUAGCAAGCAGAUGCAGAUUCUAUUGUUUGGCCAGGGGAUACACAAUAUCGCAAUAAAGAUAAGGAAUAGUUUCCCUGUUUCCUACUUUUAUGCUUCUAGUUCAUGAAGAUAAAGAUCCAUUCUAGGUCUAAGAUCUCUUUGGAGCUACUCGUCUUCAUUAUGUGAAAUGCCGCAUUAUCUACAUUUUACAUGUAUUUUUGGACUAAUAUUUUAUGUUGGUAUAUACUCCCUUCGUCCAAAAAUAAGUGCCGUGUCAAAUUUGGACCAAAACCACGGCAUUUAUUUUGGGACGGAGGGAGUACCACAUCAUUCAUCAUUCCGGUUGAUUAUUAGUUAUGACUGUCCCAUGACGCUCUUCAUUUUGGUACUGCAUAUGGCUAAUUCCUUACUCCAUUCUUAAUAUUCUCCCUUUACGACAUGUGUGUUAAGGUCCCUCGUAAUAAUUCUAUGUUGUCCUGCUGUCAUAAUUACAAAUAAGCAAAUGAUAUAAGUUGAUGGGAGGAAAUUGGCAUGCUAGUUGGUCAAAGGACAGCUGGUGAUGGUGUCAGGAUAUCCAAGCUGGGUGCCUGCCUGGUAAUCCCAACAGCUGGCAAGUGACUGCCAUGAUUGAUCCUUGAAAUUUAGAGCAACUUCUGAUCCUCUCAUACACUACAUUUCAGCUGGCAAGUGACUCUAGUUUUCUUUCCAGGGACAGGUUGGUCGUCUCAUGAUCUUGCAGCGUUCUGAUGGCCUUGUGCACUUUUCAGCUGGCAAUGAGAUUCUAGGGGCGCAAAUAAAUUGGAACUAGGUAGAAAAAUCCCUAUCUGAUUUAUGUAUCUGAACUAAUUUUGUCCAUCCUCUUGGGCUAACAAGCCGAAAUAAUGGAACAUAAAGAGGACAAAUCAUGUUGUGGCCAUUCAAAUCUUUCUCAGUGAAUGCAUUUUUCUAUACCCUGUUAUAAAUGGCCUGCCAGUGAUAUCUUAAGAUAUUUGCAUUGCUAAUGAUGCCACACCCUACAUUGUAUAGUAUAUUUGUAUCUUUGGAUGCCUCCUUUUUCAGUUAAUUAAGCAUAAAAGAAUACUUCUUCAGUACUGUAUCCCCAACACUAUAUGAUCUAUCAUUACUUGCUUCAACCCUGCUAGAAAGCUUUGUUCUAUCGUCCACGCACAAAAAAAUAUAUCAUGGUUGUACAGCUUGUUGUAAUGUCUUUUUCAGUACUGAUUAAUUAAUGGGCCUCCAAAUCUGUGCCAGUUCUUUUUGGGGCACCAGCUCAUUUCUUUUCUGUGGAAGGCUUAAAGUUGUUCAGAGUUUUAUUCUUUUUAAACAUAAAUGUUUUACCCCUAUUACCUAUUCUUUAGACAAAUGAUAAAUCAACUUACAAUUCUCUUGCUUGUAUGCGCAUAGACGUCGUCGAACCAGGUAGAGAUAUUUUGACUCGGAUAUAACAAGGUUUACAUGCGUACAAGGCAAUAACAUAAUUGUCUUCGGAAUGCACUUGAUCUCGAUUGGAAAAACUCAAAAGAACCACACAGCAGAAAGAUAUACUGCUCUGGUGCAAAUGCAGAAGGGCUCGUUAUUCAUCUCUGGAUAUCCUCAAGGACUGACUAAUACUCCGAGUCUUCAUCAUCCACUGACCCGGCACUCUGUGAUGUCUUGUCGUGGUCGUUCUCGAGCUGGCUGAAAUUACCCUUCUCUUUGAUCAGCUGGGUGUGGUGGUGCUUGCAGAAGAGCUUGCCCUCGUGCGCGAUGUAAUUCGAAGGGCUGAUGGUGCACCCUCCAUGGCAGCAUUUGAAGCAGCUCUUGUGGUACAUAGUGUUAUUCACAGUAACCUGCAGAGUUGGUGCAGGUGUCAUGACCAGAGCACUGUUAUGUAUGCAAACCAAAGAGGUAUGAUAUGAACAAUACGUCCGCGUCGCCUUUUCUUAUCACAGAAAAAGGAAGAUGAAUAAUUGAAUGCCCAACUUGGAAAUGCAGCAGAUGAAUAUGAAUGAAUCCAGCUACAUGUUGUUAAGUAAAGGAAACUCCAGCUAAAAAGUAGUAGUCCAGAGGAUAAUAAUGCAGAUACUUAAUUGAGACAUAAGAGUAGAAAAUAAUAGUACCCUCUCAAUUGGAUAGACUGUCUUGCUGCAUCCAAAACAUUUCUCUCUAGUGCCAGCAAAUGCGCUGGAGACUUUAGUAGCAUUCUGCCCAAAAAAAACACUCAUGAUAAGCAUCACCAAAUGUGGUACUAGCUCACAAAGAACAAAGGAUCAAUAAUGCCGAUUAGUUGCACGACUUUGUCGAUAAUCUGCCUAUCAGUUUGCAAAACGUCAUUUUCUAUUGAACUAAGCUCCCUAUCGGAUCCGGCGUUGCACUCACUUUCUUCUUAAUGAAUUACAUGGAGCUCUGUUGCAUGGUUCGAAAAGAAGAAGAAGAAUCUAUGUAUGUUUUGGAUUAUCUUGGGUGUGUGUUUUUGGAUCAUCUUUGGAACAAUAGUACUCCAUCUGUAAACAAAUAUAAGAGUGUUUAGAUCACUAUUUUAAUUAUCUAAACGCUCUUAUAUUUCUUUACGGAGGGAGUACUAAUGAUCUACUACACUCUGCAGAGAAUAGAUAAAUGUUAGAGGAGAUUAGUGGAUACCUCAUUCCCAACAUUCCUUUCUGGCUUGACAACCUUUGGAGUGCCUGAAUCAACAUUCCUCCAUUACUUUCUGAAGAAUUGCAAAGGAAUGCAGUGUGAUAGGCUAAGGCCGUACCUUCGAAGCUCUUGUCCAGGCUCCCGGUCCUCUUGAAGAGCUGGUCAAAGUGAGGCCUGCAGUAGAGCACUCCUUCGAACGAGUUGUAAUUUGCGAGCUGCGCCAGGGAAACAUAGAACAAGUUGAACAAGUGAUAUCUCAAAGUGAAUAUGAGGCAGGAGGACUGAGGAUUGGGAAGGGGGAAGAGUAGAGUGGUAGUACCUUGAGGGUGCCCUUGCAGUGGUGGCACCUGAAGCAGGCCUUGUGGUAGACCCGGUUGUCGGCGGUGAGCUUGUCGACGAGGUACACCGUCUUGUCGCAGGCGUUGCACUUGGUGGUCGUCCCCUGGAACGAAGUCGCCAUUGCCUCUCCCGAACUCUCGAUCUGCAAGCUGCUGCUCUGUUCUUCCAACACAAGACUGGCUUGGCUUCGCUCCCGACAAGCCUUGGGGUGAGUGAUGAUUAUAUGGUGGUAAAUGGCGUGGCGCGGUUGGUGGUGGCCGGCAGCUGCAGGUAUUGCUGUUUGCUGCCGCGAGGCGGGGCAGGACAGCUUGGGUGAGACAGGGAAUAAUGUUGGAGGUGGAAGCAAAGAGCCAGAACGAGUAGUAGUAGUCAAGUGGGAAUGAGAUUGUAGCAGCUCAAGGAAACGAAAAAGGAGGUGGUGGUUGUGGAAAUUUGCGGAGGGGCUAAGCAAAAUCCACGUGGUGACUGGUGAUGACGUGGCAGGGAGAGAAAGCAUUUGGGGUGAAAGGUAAAUGGCAGCUGAUUUCCAUCUUGGGGAUUUGAGGGGGCUAAAAAGCCACGGUAAUUUAUAUUCUUGACAUGCUCUCUCUCUCUCUCGUUAAGUGUAAUAAUCUUUGAGGGUCCCUGAUUGAAACGUGCUGCCAGCACACCAUAUGCACUGGAUGAACCAAAGCUCAGUCGGUGGGUCUGCUGGGGGAGAGCAUCUCCAAUAGAGGAUGUAAAAGUUGGUGUUCGAAAAUAAUAAUAAUAAGUUUUUAGACACCUGAAAUUUUUAAUUCCGUAACAUUAUUGCAUAUUUCAUAAUUUCUAACUCUAAUAGGAAAUGUUCAACAUUUAACAUUAAAACGACAUCACACUAGAUAACUAAAAACAGUUCUAUGGUAAAUCAUCACACUACUCAUCGUCACACCUACAAUACACCAUCAUGGGAAAGGCGUCUUUGUACGCACAAGGUACCCGUCCAAGUCGUCGUCGUCGGAUCCUGAUCUGGCGACUUUGGGAUUGCUCAGACUCAGGCCAGGCAAAUCCACGAUGGGCUUGCCGAUGCUGGCAGCGGCGACACUCGUGGGUGUCAUUUUUCUUCUUGGAGGCGCUGCCUUGGCCUUGAUAUGUGACCCUCGUCGAGCAGCAGGGGAAACCCUAGGUCCGGUUCUCCGGAUCGAAUGGCGACGGCGUCACAACGGCGUUCCCCUUCUUGAAGGCGCUAUCUUGCUAGAUCGUUGUGUCCCGGCGUUGGACUUGAAGAUGUUUGACGUCCUGUUGAUUUGGUUUGCUCCUCUAGUUUUAGUUUUGGUGGGUUUAGUUGUGUUUCACUCUGUUCGGGCUAAGCACCCCGUCUCUCUGCCCAGGGCACCAUGUUCAUGCCUCCUUGCAUUCAUGUCAUGUGUUGUAUCUACUGUUGUACUCAUUCUCUUUCCUUCUAUCAAUGAAAAGAUACACAAGCUUUGCGUAUUCGCAAAGUCGUCGUCGUCGAGUUGAUGUCGAUUGCCCCUCCGGCCGAGGGGCCUACCUCGUGGUCAUUGCUGGUAGAAGGCUUCACCUCCUCCUCAUCGAAACAACUUCCUUGUCAAUUUGGUCGAACAACUCAUGGACCUCGACUUCUAUACUGUGUUGGUGCUCCUCCUCCUCCUUCACGCGCUCCGUGUCCCUCUUGGCAUAGAAUGCAAGCUCUGCUACCACGAGUUCCGGGUUAGCCUGGGCCAGCUUCGUCAUGUGCAGCUAAUAAGUGGCCUCGGCUCUACGUGCCUUCUCUGCACUAGACCAUGGAAGGGGUGAGGAAUCUGUAUGGCCGGCCACCUCGGGGAAAUUGAGCUCGGCCAAGCUCCGAUCGUAUCGAACUGCCACUGUAUCAUAGGCGAGCACCGCGAGCUCCUCGGUCUCAAAGGUGCUAAGCCACUCAGGUGAUCUCGGCGGCGAAGUGGCCCGACGCCCGAUGACGAACACCACGGUACGGCAUGGCGCUCGCGAUGGCUAGUGCGACAACAUCUUCGACGGGAGGCAGCGGAGAAGCCCGGUGGCGACAAACAAAAUGACUGGUGGAGAAGCUAAGCUCGACUGCGGCUGACGAAACAAGCACCGAUGGCGGCAAUGGACGAAACAGACGCCCCACGACCGAAAUGGACAUAUCUAGUGGUGGGGAUGAUGGAUCCGGCGACGAUGGGCGGAAGCCGAUGGUGGCAGCCGGAUUCGUGCGGGGAUGUGGCACGACGAACGACAAAAAUGGGGACAGAUUUGGGGAGCAGAGUGGCCCGUGGCGGCCAGAAUCGGCGGCGGUGCCAUCCAGCGAUGAAGCACGCAGUGCCGGUCCUGAGAUUUUGAGGGCCCGGGCGAAAGUAAAAUUUGAGGCCCCUUAAUAUAAACAUCAUAGCAAUGAUAAAUAAUGAUUCUAAAAAAAGCAAUGAUAAAUAAUAUAUGCAUCUACAAAAUGUUACCAAUAAUUACUUAAAUGCACCCGAAAGCCAAUAUUUAUAUAAAAUAACUUAUACAAUUUGCCUACAAAUUUUCUUGUAAAAUUCUUCGAUGCAAAGCCAUUGUGCCGAUGUCAAUCUCAUCCAUCGAUUUCUUCUCGAUACAUAAUUUGUUCAUCAAUAAUUUCAAGUUGGAAAGCAUCUUUUAGCUAAUGCAACAAUCACCGAUACAGUACGUAAAUCCGAAUAAAUCUUUAAACACCAUGAGUUUUUUAAAUCCUUUCUUCAAAGAAGUGAUCAAUUAAAACAAACAAAUAGCAUGAUAAUCCUUCCAACUUCUAGAAUUCCUUCUUGGCUACCACUUUUAUCAAACUAUUUCUUCCUCUAGCAUGAAGUUUUACUGAAAAUUGUAGGAAAAUUACAGUAUGAUAUACCUUGGAUUGAUUAGAUCGGCGUCAGUGGCUGGACGCUCGGCGACGAUGCGAUGGCGUUUUCUGGUGGCAGGCACUCGGCGAUGUGCGUGCUGCGUCGUCGCUGCGUUCAGCGCCGGGAGACCUGUCUGCCCUGCGCGACCUGGGAUCUGGAGUUUUAAAACCAUGGAACAGAGAAUAGGAAAUUAGGGAUGAACUGAUGUCGCACGAUCGUUUUCUUUUGCUGAAGGAGAGUGUCUCGUAAUAAUAAUAACGGCACGAGGUGAUUUACGUGCAUACUUGCUCUUUUUUCCGUCCUGAUCGUACGCUGAUUGAAGCGAUUUACAUGCGUACGCUGCUGCCUGCCGUCCCUUUCUAUUUGGAUCUGGCUACUUCUUUUCCUUUUUUUUUUCUGAGACAAGGCUACUUCUUUUCCUACGAGAAGCUAUGGCUUAUGGGCUUCUUUACCUUCACGUAAUUACCUGGGAGGGGGGCCCUCGAUCCUGGGGGCCCGGGGCGGCCGCCCCUGCCGCCCCCCUCAGGGCCGGCCCGGAAGCGGCUGAGGGUUGGGAAACUUUCGCUGGAAGAGCGGGGGUGCGCGCCUAAAUUUAGGUUGUGAGGCAGUCCCACAAGUGCUAUAGAUUUGCAGCACUUGGAGCUAAAAUUUAAGGCCACUGCAAUUUUUCUUUACACUAAAUAGAGAUACAUCAUAUGUUGAAGCAGUAUUUUAACUCCAAAUGCCCCAAACCGUAUUUUGUUUGGACAUGACCGUUGUUUUACAUCAUCAAUUAGAGAUGUUCUUCCACGCAAAAAAAUAAAAUAGAGAUGUUCUUAUUUCCAGCAUGCGGUUGCUUCUUGUGCAAGUGGAACCAAGUCAGUUUGGCAAAUAUUUCUAGGUUGCUUCUUGUUAAAGUACUCACAGAAAAAAGUGCUAACAGAAAAAUCAAAGUGUCUUUUUCUUUUGUGUAAAUUCCAUUUCAAGUCUGUGCGCACUCCCUUCAACCUAAAAAAAAUGGUGAGUGCAUUCUGCACAAUUAGCCACAAGUGUUUCCCAAACUAGAAUGUCGAAGUGUUAGAUUACUCAACUGAUACAUCAGAAAAGCAAGACUGCAUUUCACUUUUACUUUUCUUCAUGUAAUUUGAAGUUUUCUGUUUAAAGUUUCACAGCUGGCUAAAAUCAAUACCUUCUUAUUUGUACGUUUUCUCAUACAAAAUACCACUUUAGCACUAUUUAAAAUAUAGGGCCGGCUCACUGAAGCUCGUCUUUCAAAGUAACUUUUCGCAUUCCCUAGCAUCUUCUAUACUAUCUCGGUCUCAUAAUACAAUAUGUUAUUACAGACAAUAUGGACAGAGGAGUGCAUGUCAAUUGUUCUUGUAAUUUCCCAUCAGUCCUUGUGUGUCGGCAGCUUAAUUAGGCUGCUACUGAGACAUGUGUCUAUGCGCUCGGGAGAAGGAAAGCCGCUGAUCUUGACCCCUCGAAUCCAAACAUAAUUAGAUUGUUUUUGUUACCAGUAAUCAAUCCACAGCCAUCAUCCGCCGACUGAAAUGCUCAAAGAGGUUCCUGAAAGACAAGGCCACCGCAACAGCCAAGCGAAAAAGGCAAGUGGGUCUGCCUGUGCAUCAACGCAACUCGUUGUCAGAAUCCCCUGUUGUUGCAAUCUUCACUCUUACUCAUUAUCUAUGACCCAUGUUUUCAAUACUCAAUUCAAUCAUGUAAUAAUAUGAUAUUCGUGUGUUGGGUGGCAUGUAGGUCUCUUCGCGGGACCGGGUCAACUCGUUUUCUGUAUUUUCAUCUUAUACUCUAUCUGUUUUUAUUUAUAUUGGCACCCAGAAACUCCAAUUGGGAUCAAUCAAGUGCACAUUUGCCAUGAACUGAUAAUGCAUGAACUGCAGCCACCGACAAGCAAGACGUCUUGAAAACCCAUGAUAAUGGCAAAUAAUGUACUGUAUUAUACAAUAAGACAACAGUCAACACAAAGCUAGUGCAGGUUUACUGGCUUUUACUGUUGUCAAGUUAUCAUGAAGGUCCCACACAAGUUCAGUUUAGUAGCCAAGUGAACUAGUACGCACUUUGAACUUCUUUGGAACAAAAGCUGAAGUAGUCUAAACUGAAGAAACAAACUAAAGAGCAAAACCUGAAGUAUGAACUAGUCUGAACUUUUACUUACCUGGAACCUUUUGCUGAACUGAAGCAUGCUUGGGAGCAAGACGAGAUUGGGGGUUUUGGGAGAACGUUGAGCAGUCGAGAUGAUGCAGGAGCGCAUCAGAAUGAAGGAGAGCGGUGGCGCUGCACGGGUGUCACCGACUGGGGAGGUGAUGCAGAUGGUCGAAAGUUAGCUAGUACGUAUACAACAAUAUUUUUUCAUAGCAAUAACGUUGAACACACAGUAUUCAUAGCUUCACACAGAAAAGACAGGGUGGAAGGCUUAUGAGCAGGCCCAUACGGCAGUCGGGACUUGCUGUAAAUGUUUGUAUUUUGAGAACAUUUACUAAUUUUUACAUAUUUUCUCUCCAUAUUUAUAAAAACAAUCUGAAAAAAAUGCCACACGAGUGACACGAAGCAAUCUGGCCCUGACUAUUUUACAACUAAAAUUGCCAUAAAAAAACAAAUUAAAAAAAAACAACAGAAACUUGCCAUCUGAAAAGAAAGUAGCCAUCAUCACUAAACUUGCCAUAAAAAAUGUCCGGAGUUAUCAUGUGUUCGUGUCACACAUGUGGCAUUUAUCAUGAUCUUUUUUAGGCCAGGUUGUCUACAAGAGCGACCGACAUACUCCUAACCGUCACAUUUUUUUUAGCGGAGCUCCUAAUAGUCAUAUGUAUCCCCAAAAUGUCACUAUAAAGCCUGCAUAAACGCUCCUGGGCCGCGGCCCAGUAGACCAUUUGCUUGUCGCUUGCUCGCCCACGCUAGGCGAGAGCAAUUAGCUGGGUAGUUCUCCUAAAAAAAGUUGGGGAGUACUCGUUGCGGGGUUCCUGCAAGUGUUUAUUUUUGGGCGCACUCUCAAUCACCGCCACGUGUUGUCGCAUGUUGGACACUUUCUCAUGAUUUCAUUUUUUUGUACGCAUUUUCGGUUUUUAGAUGAACUUUUUCAGUUUUUCCUAGGUUUUUUUUAUAAAAAUUCAAAAAAAUUGAGCAAAAAAAAUGUGUUUUUUUCUCUUUCGCGAGAGUCACGGAUUUACUUCUCGUGGAGGCGUAGAUAUGCUCCGGCGAGAGACACAACAGUGCCUCUUGGAAAAGGAAAACCGUGUUUUUUUUCCUUUCGCGUGAGGCACAAAUUUGCUUUCAUGAGAGGCACAUAUGUGCCUCUCAGAAAAAGAAAAAAACCCCUGAUUUUUUGCUUCCACGAGAGGCACGACUUUACUUCACGUGGAGAGUUGUGCAUCUAGGAAAAGGGAAAAAUGUGUUUUCUUUUUUCCCGCGAGAGGCAUAGAUUUGCUCACGUGAGAAGCACGGUUAUGUCUCUCAAGAAAGGAAAAACAACGCCUUUUUUCGCGAGAGGCACAUAUUUGCUUCGCGUGGAGAUGCAUAUUUCCUUUUUCCGCAAGAGGCAUUCGAUAUUUUUGACUGUUUUUUGUGUGGAAAAAACUUCGCUGAAAUCUAUAAACAUGAGAUCUAGUUUUGAAGAUCUCGAUGCGAGGAAUUCAAGGCAAAAACGGUUUGGGAUUUAGACACACGGUUUUCAAGAGAUAAAACAUUUUGAAUAAACAAAUUCUAUGAAAAAAGGAAACUCCAAGGUUGCGACAAGUGAUGCACAUGCAGGGCACCGCUUCUCCCAAUUUGGGGAAGUGGGGAGUGACCUUUGUAAAGAGUACUCCUUAAUUAAUGAUUUCAACACUUGGCAACCUACUUUUUUUCUACUCGGUUUUCCUUGCCACUGUGUUGUCUCGGAGAAAAACCAAACUGGCUACCUCUCUUUAAUUUUGAAAAAGGUGAAAUACAAAAGCCACGGAUUUAAAAAAACAGGAUUUAAAACAUGCGUGAAUUUUAAUAAAUAUUCAUGAAUUUGAAAAAUGAUUAAAAUAUUAAAAAUAUGAAUUGGAGAAAAGUUCAUGGUUCUAUAAAAAUGUUCAAAUUUGGAUAAUAUUCACAAAAGUUUAGAGAAUUCAUUAAUCUUAAAAAAUAUUAACAAAACUGAAAAGGUUGACAGAUGUAAAACUUGUUAAUGAAUUUUUUAAAGUUCACAUAAUUGAAAAAUGAUCAUGGAGUUUUAAGAAAAUGAAAAAGGAAAAUAGAAAAGAAAAUAAAAAUCAAGUAUAAAUAAAAAAUAAUACACACACAAAAAUGCAACCCGAAUCUUCCCAAAAUUGGAACGUGUUGGACAUACAUGGGCCGGCCCACUUACAAAACUAAGCGAUGGGAGGGUGUGCACUUACCAGGAACCGUUUAAUGCUUAAAGCGUCAAAUAGAAAAAGUGUCAUUCUAAUCUCGAGUUCAAAUGCUCUUGCACGAAGAGUAAAAAAAGGGGAAAUGUGUUUUUUUACAAUAAACAUUUGCUUAGUUUUCUGCCCGCGUGCAAUUGUUUGCGAUGAAAUCACAUUCGUUGUGGUUUGGGCAAAAAUAACAAAAUCAUCAAUUCAAAAUGCUUUCAAAAACAAUAAUUUUGAAGAUUUUUUUCCAGAGCAUUAGGAAUGUCAUUUCUUCACGCAUAAGGCAUAGUCAAGCCAAGAUCACGCUGACAGAGCACCACCUCCCCACGAUUCAUUGGUCACACAAGCCAUGCCAAGCUUCAAGCUGAAGCCCUUAAGAGGAAAUGUGACAUUGAGUGCCAUCAUCACUUGAUCGGGGAGACUCGGACCUGGAGUUACCCCCAGAGCAUGUCGGGGGGAUAGACAAGCACCGUAGCAUGCCACCUUCAACAAGGGGGCAACACCCACAAGUACCGCCAUCGUUGGCUUCGACCGGAACCGAAGUUCGACUUUCACAGAUAGUUUCACCACACCAACCCAUAGCAUGCUUGUCGCCAGGACGCCAUUCACCAUCACAGCAGGCAAAGCAGUUGCAACCUCUUGCGAACAAAUAUCGCCGCCCCACAUGGGGCCUCUAGAUCUGGGACCAAAUAGAUCCGGAACAAAGUUGUGCCAAAGCCACACCUCAACACGCUGAGGCCGCCGCAUACCUUGUGCAUCAACGCCGACGCGCCCACUACCCCUCCACCCCACGCAUCCACGUCAUAGCAUGCCUUGGGCCAAAAAAGAGCACAACUGCACCAGCACAUUUAGCCACAAGACCGAAGCCAUAAGGCGUGAGAACGCAAGCCAGGCGGCUUGAGAGACUAGGCAUAGUAGCGCAAGUGCCGACCAGCCGCCUGCCACACACAUCGGGACAAGGCGUCACCACUCCACGACAUCCCGUGGGAGAAGGAGAUCGUGCCAGAUCCACGCCAAACGACAGGUGGCUGACGACCAAGCGCACCACCUUCACCAUCGCAACCACGGACACACUUCCUUCGCCAAGGAGCACCUAUGACACGCGUGGAGAAGCUUUCGACCGUUUGUCGCUACAGGAACCCUUUCUCGAAAAAGCACCACCGUAGUUCGCCAGAGCCACUCCGCCGUCAGAUCCGCGUGGGCAAAGCUCAAUGGAAAGCCAUCUGGCGGCGGCUAGUGGGGGGAGGGGUGAAGAAGCUAGCCCUGCACGAGCUUUUGGCGAGCUACCAUCCGAGCCCUGGGGCGAGGAUGACGCGGGGCCGUCCAAGCAGUCGUCAGUUUUUCCAAGUGAUUGUUUAGGAUUUUUUUUUAAGUUGUGAACUUUCAUCAAAUUCAGGAACAUUUUUAAAAAUUUAUGAAUAUUUUUAAUAUACAUGUUUUUUUUUAGAAUUCAUGAACUUUACUAGUCUUCUCGUAUUUUGGGUUAUAUUUAGACGCUAACUUUAACUAAUAAAAUGUAGGAGUACUAUGUAGCAAAAAUACUAUCAUUAGAAACAGUAUUUAAAUACAGAUCUAAUAAUAUAAUUUUUAAUGACAUAAAUUAAUAGUUUAAUGGUCAAUAUAUGGUGAAAUUUUAACGGAAAAUACGAUGGGACUGAUAAUGCGGAACAAGGCAGCAGCUGUAUAUAAUGCACGUUCACGGGCGAGCGAUAGCUGCAACUCCCGAGACAACCCACACGGAGUCACACCUGAUCCGACACGUGCAUCUUGUCCGUCCACAGCUGUUAACACCACAGUUCUACGCCCGGAAGCUUCGCGCCAGCGCCACAAGGAAACGUUGAGCGGCGCACGGCCAUGCACGACGCGCCGUACUCUGCUCUCUCACGCGUUCUCUUGUGACUCAUCCCACUCCUGUCCCCCACUGGAUCUAAGCCCUACUUGCUAGCGGGUAUAAAUAACAAGAUGCAUAUAGCUGCAGCUGACCAGAGACGAGCUCGACCGUCCAGCUAGCAUCGGCGACCAGAGGAGCCAGUUUGACACUCAACAGCCGCGUCGAUCGAUCGGAGUUGCACGGGACGCAAGCUAGCGCGAGCCGGUGGUAGCGUUGUAGUACACCGACAUCAUCGACCCAUCCAUGCAUCUGCUCCAUGGGUCUGCUAUGAUCGGUGGCAGCUGCGGCGGUAGAGCUCUCCGGCGAGUCGACAGCUCCCCGAAGCCGUCCUUGUGCCGGAGCGACGCCAUGAAGAAGAAGAGGAGCAAGAGGUCCAGGCUCUCCGCCGCGCUGCGGGAGCUCAGGCUGGCGGCCAAGGCGAGGGACAAGGAGGGGCUCCUUCAGAUCCUCGUCACCGGACACCGCACCAGCCGCGGAGGAUCCGGCAACGGCGAGCGCACCGGCGGAGCAUCGACGGAGCGCAGUGUGGCUGGCACGGGCGACGACCAGCGCGCGACACUGCGGUGGCAGGGACGCGGUGUCGAUGCAGCCGGGCGUGCGGAUGGUCCUCUUCUUGAGCUGGGGAGACCGACAGCAACCGGGGGAGCCAGCUGCGGCGGCCGUCGUUGCCCGAGUUGGGCGCUGGCAGUGGCGCUUGUGCUCGCGCUGGUUUGCGUGGUAGCGCUCGGGACGGCGCCGGCCAUCUGUUGCUGCACCUGCGCGGCCUGGUUGUGCGGCGGCUGCGGCGCGCAGGAGCAUGCAUCUGACCGGCGGCGGGGCGGCUCCUGCCGUGGCAGCGUCAGAGUAAUGCAGCAACAAGCCGGUAGUACACUGUAUCAUGCAGAGGUCACCAGUGGGUGAACUGUAUGAAUUUUGCAUAUUCUUUAUUUUCUAUGGGAGAAUAUCACAUGAAAACCGACGUUGGAUUGAAAUCAAUAAAACCACAUGAAAACAAUGGCUUGAAGUUUUGAAAAGAUCUAAAAAAUAUGAGAUCGGGUGAUGUUCUAUUACUAUAAAAAAAAUUCAAGAUUUUUUUUUCGAAAGUACGUCAACGGCAUAACUUAUCUUUAUAAAAGAGGGAGGAACAAUUUACAAAAGAAGCCAAGAAGAAGAUGCACACAUCCCUUCUCAGCCACACCACAUUACACCCCACUUUAGACUAAAGCCUACUCUCUCACAAAAUGUGACAACCCUCCUACUCUUACGCCAGCCUCUCUUCAGUUCUGGAUCUCUCUUAGGAUGAACUCCACUAGUUAAUGAGCCGACCUUUGUUGCGCCGUCUUGUUGAAGAUAGGCGCUUUGCGCUGUUUUCAUAACACCCAAGUCACUACAAUAACAAAGAUGUCGAACCCAUGUUUAAGUUCCUUACCGAAACCCCUUCUGGCAUUGAGCCACCAAUCCAACCCCUUCUGGCAUUGAGCCACCAAUCCAACAGGUUGUUAUCCAUUUUUGGUUUCUCCAUGUUCAAGUUAAGUUUCUGAAGACAUUCAUGCCAUACUUUCUUCGCGUACACACAUUGAACCAAAAUGUGUGGUUCAAUAUGUGCUCGGCGUUGUCUUCAUCCUGCAGGCAAGUGAAGCAAGGAGACGGCCGAUCUUGUAGCCCGUGUUUCGCUCUCCGAUCCGACGUCCUGCUGCACUGCCAACCAGACAAAUAUUUUGCACUUAAACAGUGUCCAGCUCUUCCAAAUGCAAGUUGCAUAUGAUACCCUCUGGAUUUCGAGACACAAGCGGUUAUACGUGGACCUCACAAAGGUGAGGUCUCCACCCACAUCAUGUAGCCAUCACGCAUUCUUCAAGCUCUCACUGAUUGUACGCCUGUUCCUAGUGCGAGUGUCCACCAUAUAAUGAAUCAGUGGUGCGAUGUCCUCCACCGCAAAGCCAUGUAUCCAUAUGUCCCUCCAAAAAAGCACCUUGCUCCCGUCCCCCACUUCAAUCUUGACCAGGCUAUCAAACACCGCUCGUGCCUCUAUCCUCCGUCAUGGCCAGUCCAUGCCAUGGCCUCUGUGGAACCAUUCUUUUUAACCAUUCCCAUCUGACCCUAAGAGCAAGGCCUUGAAGCUCCAGAUUUCUCACUCCCAAACCACCCAUCGAGGUGGGUCUAGAAACCGUGCUCCACGCCACCAAACACUGCCCACCAUUCACUUUCUCUUUGCCAGCCUAGAAAAAAGCGCGCAUCCAUUGGUUGAUCUCCUCCAGCACCCAAGCCGGUGCCUUCGCGAUCAUGAAGUGGUGGAUAGAUUUUGCCGCGAUCACUGACUUAACUAACACCAGCCGACCAGAGCGUUGGAGGAGUCCCCGUUGCCACGCCAGGGCACACUUUUUCGCUUGGUCCACCAUGGGCAGCCACUCGGCCCUGCUCAGUUGCUUGAUCGCGAGCUGCAAACCCAAGUAUCUACAAGGGAAACUUCCCAUGUUACAGUUCAGCAGAGUCUGCACUCGGUCUCUGUCCGCCUCAUCACCAUGGAUCAUAAUUGCUAGCGAUUUAUGGUAAUUUAUGCUCAGCCCCGAUGCUUCCGCGAACGCCUGCAAAGCUUCUUUUACGAACCUUAAAUCCACCUCCGCGGGUUUGACAAACAGCGCCACGUCGUCCGCGUAAACAGACACGCUUUGGUCAGCCGAUAUCCCGGUGAGUUUACUCGUCACCCCCAUCGUAGCAGCUUUGAUCAUAAUCUUCGACAACACCUCCAUUGCGAUGACAAACGACAACGGCGAGACUGGGUCCCCUUGACGUAACCCUUGCACAUGCCGAAAAUUUCUCCCGGGACUCCCAUUGACAAGAACUUUCAUGGACGCCGUCCUCAGCAGAAUAGACACCCAGGUCAUCCACUUCGCUCCAAACCCCUUGUGCGUCAAGACCUUGAAAAGGAACGGCCAGGCGAUCGAGUCAAAAGCUCUGGAUAUAUCAAGUUUGAGGAAGACUCCUGCUUCCCUACGGGCAUGGAUCUUCCUAGCCACCUGGCGGACCAGCAAGAAGUUCUCAUGUAGGUGCCUCCCACAUAUAAAAGCCAAUUGGUCAGCUGCCACGAUAUCCUUCAUCCUCUGCCGGACCCGGUUGGCCAGCAGCUUAGCAAUUUUUUUGCCAUGCUAUGGGUCAGACUAAUGGGGCGAAAGUCGCCCGCCUCCUCUGCCUCCGGUUUCUUGGGGAUCAGAACUAUAUGUGCUCGGUUUAACUUGCCAAAACCCCGACCAUCGCCAACAUAAAGCUUCAUAAAUACCGCCAUCACGUCCUGCUUGAUAAUGCUCCAUGCCUUCUGAAAGAAGGCAACGAUGAACCGAUCUGGUCCCGGCGCUCGAUCCGGAGGCAGAUCCUUGAUAGUAUCCCAGACUUCCUCCUCCGAGAAGAUCUCGUCCAGCUCUGAUAGAUCAUGCGACUCCAUCCCCAGAAACUCGAGAUCCACCUCCAACGCCCUCGAAUGCGCCCGACCCAAUAGUUGCUCAUAAGUCUCCGUGAAGAUUUCUUCUCUCCGGAGCUGAUCCGUAAUCAACUCCUCAUUGUGCCUCAGGUGCGGGAUAAUUUUUUUGACCUACGGCCAUUAGCCACUGCCUGGAACAACUUCGUGUUAGCAUCUCCCUCACGAAUCCACCUUAACCGCGAUCGCUGCCUCUCAAUGGUACGCUGCAGGGAAACCAACCCUAGUAAUGCGUGCUUGAUCGUACACCUGAGCCAUCUUUCCUCAGUCAUGAGGGCACGGGACUCCAUGGUGCGGUCCAAUCUCAAUAUAAUGAAAUUCGCAAUGGCCAUCUGCGUCUUAAUAUUUCCAGUUUUCUUCUGUCCCCAAGCCUGUAGGGCGGUCGCCGUGUUACGAAGUAGCGUAUCCAACCUCUUAAAGGGAUCUACAAUGAGAUCAUCGCACACCCAAGCAUCACGGACCGUCUGUUCGAACCCAUCCAGCUUCAGCCAAUACAUCUCAAAACGAAACCUUUUGUUCACACAAAAGGUGCAGAGGCGGUUAAGUGCAGCGGGGUAUGAUCCGAAAUGUUUGUAGAGAGAGCUUGCAACAACAUAUCCGGGUAGUUUAGCUCCCAAUCUACCGACACUAGCACGCGGUCAAUUUUCGUCAUAACCGGCCGCUCCCUUUCAUUCGACCAUGUAAACCACCUCCCAUGCAUGUAUGGUUCCUUGAGUUCGCAAUCGUCCACAAAUUCUUUGAAUCUUCUCAUAAUCCUCCGGUUCAGAUUGUUAUUACUCUUCUCAUCCGCCCGUAGGAUCAUAUUGAAAUCCCCGAGCACCAUCCAAGGUCUCAGACAAAUGGCAUGUCUAUUGUGUAGCUCAACAAGAAAUUACAUCUUCGCAUCAUCCCCUUGCGGUCCAUAAACUACGGUCACCCACCAUGUCGACCCGUCCUUAGUGUGCACCAGCCCCGUGAGGGAAUGAGUAUCCAUGACAAUGUUAUCCACCUCCAACAUCGUCGUGUCCCACCCCAUAAGAAUCCCGCCACGAGUGUUAGACGCCGACAAGUAGGCAAAACCAUCAAACGAUGGCCCCAUACGUUGCAUUACCAUAAAAGGAUCGAUUACAUCAAGUUUCGUUUCUCGCAAGCACGCUAGGUUCACUUUGGCUUCAACCACAAACUCCCGAACGACAUUCCUGUUCGCUGGGUUGUUCAACCCCCUCACAUUCCAGCAUAGCACCUUUGGAUUCCAAUCCAUAGAAACUAGAUGCCCUCCUUAACUUCCUCCAAUGCGGGCACCUAUGCCGCUCCCACACGACUGACGCACCGAUGACCAUGUCACUCACCGGCGGCACCUCCUUGCCGAACAAAACCGCGAUGACCCGGAUGUGCUGCUCCCUCAAUGGUGACUCGAAGAUCUCGGCCAACUCAACAAUGUUGUCAUCGUUCCCCUCCAAAUCCUCCGGAACUAUCCCAAGUGCACUCAUGAGCACAUUCUCAGCCUGCGUAGCUUUGCCCAUCUUGGUGACCGAGGCUCGCUUGGAACCCCUUGUCGUGUGGCGCGGUGUGAAAGGCUCAUCCUAUGGCCUUAGGGUGGACUACACCUCCAAAAGAAGUGGUGGCGCUAACUUAUGCACGAGCGCGUUACAAAACCACUUGAGCUUCCCAUAUGCCACUGCCUCCUAAGGGGUCAUUCCACUCGUGCAUGCCUGAAACUGCCCUUGCAUGUUCAACUCAACGUGCACAUCACCCUGUUCCCCAUACACCCCCUGGUCAUCCGCCACUUGGCGCGAACACAUCGGUUCCUUGCAUGCGGGAGAUUCUCCCUCCAUUAGCACUUCCAUGCAUGCAGGAGCACUAGCCCUAAUCAUUGGUGGGUCCAGCUGCCGAUCCCCUGCGGACUAGUCCUCCAAUGCGGGCAGCGCCCCACCCGUGUGCUCACCAGCCAAAGCCACCACGUGGCCGCCCCUCAAACGCUCCGGCACGAUCUUCCCAGCGGUGUCCACCACCUGACUCGUCCCAACUAGACUAAGGCCCGCAAGUGGCCUCACAGCUGUCUCUUGCCCUGCCCCCGGGCCCCCAGUAUCCACCUCAUGCUCGCUGUGCACGGGCCCCGCCACCAAGCGGCUUUCCACCGGCCUAUCAGCAGGCAGCUGUGCUGUCUCCGGGCCCCCAUCGCUAGCCUCGGCAUUGGCCCUUGCCAUCCCCACCUCCAACAACCUGACCUCGCGAUCCGCAACGACCACCGGUCCCAAAACAUCCUCCCUCUCCUGCCGCCCUGUGGGGGCCACCACCGCCUCCUGCCUUGACCAGAUAGGCACAAGCGGCGUGCCACCGACAGGGCGGGCCCAACUCGUCUGAUCCGCAGAGCGUGUGGCCCCCUCUUGGGUCUGCACCCCCUCCAGAUCCUUGUCGCCUUUGUCGCCAAGCUCAUUCAAAAUUUGAACCUCCCGGCACGCAAUCUCCUCCACCUGCCGCUCAGCGCCACCCAACCGGUCAAAAGCAGAACGACGGGACGUCAGCCUAUCCUAAACAGCCACACCGGGCCCACGACCACCCACCCGCUACACUGGCUUCAUCGAAGAGAUCCGCCAGUCAAGCUGGCCGGCACCAACCGAUCCACUGGCGUGCUGCCGGCCCACCGCCGCACCACUACCCCCGCCCGCAUUGGCUCCCCUACGGUCGCGGAUGCCGAAUUGCCAAUCUAACCUGCGGGUGUGUUGGGGAACAUAGUAAUUUCAAAAAAAUUCCUAAGCACACGCAAGAUCAUGGUGAUGCAUAGCAACGAGAGGGGAGAGUGUCGUCCACGUACCCUCGUAGACCGUAAGCGGAAGCGUUAUGACAACGCGGUUGAUGUAGUCAUACGUCUUCACGAUCGACCGAUCCUAGUACCGAACGUACGGCACCUCCGCGAUCUGCACACGUUCAGCUCGGUGACGUCCCACGAACUCACGAUCCAGUAGAGCUUCGAGGGAGCGUUCCGUCAGCACGACGGCGUGAUGACGGUGAUGAUGAAGUUAACGACGCAGGGCUUCGCCUAAGCACCGCUAUGAUAUGACCGAGGUGGAAUAUGGUGGAGGGGGGCACCGCACACGGCUUGGAACAAUCAACUUGUGUAUCUAUGGGGUGCCCCCUCCCCCGUAUAUAAAGGAGUGGAGGAGGUGGGAGGGCCGGCCCUCUAUGGCGCGCCCUGGAGGAGUCCUACUCCCACUGGGAGUAGGAUUCCCCCUUCCCUAGUUGGACUAGGAGAGAAGGAAGUGGGAGAGAGGGAGGAAGGAAAGGGGGGCGCCGCCCCCCUCCUAGUCCAACUCGGACCAGAGGGAGAGGGGGCGCACGGCCUGCCCUGGUCUCCUCUCUCUCUCUCUCCACUAUGGCCCAAUAAGGCCCAUACUCUUACCGGGGGGUUUCGGUAACCUCCCGGUACUCCAGUAAAAUCCCGAUCUCACCCGGAACUAUUCCGAUGUUCAAAAAUAGGCUUCCAAUAUAUCGAUCUUUAUCUCUCGACCAUUUCGAGACUCCUCAUCAUGUCCGUGAUCAUAUCCGGGACUUCGAACUACCUUCGGUACAUCAAAACACAUAAACUCAUAAUGCCGAUCGUCACCGAACGUUAAGCGUGCGAACCCUACGGGUUCGAGAACUAUCUACACAUGACCGAGACACGUCUCUGGUGAAUAACCAAUAGCGGAACCUGGAUGCUCAUAUUGGUUCCUACAUAUUCUACGAAGAUCUUUAUCGGUCAAACCGCAUAACAACAUACGUUGUUCCCUUUGUCAUCGGUAUGUUACUUGCCCGAGAUUCGAUCGUCGGUAUCUCAAUACCUAGUUCAAUUUCGUUACCGGCAAGUCUCUUUACUCGUUCCGUAAUACACCAUCCCGCAACUAACUCAUUAGUUACAUUGCUUGCAAGGCUUAUAGUGAUGUGCAUUACCGAGAGGGCCCAGAGAUACCUCUCCGACAAUCGGAGUGACAAAUCCUAAUCUUGAUCUAUGCCAACUCAACAAGUACCAUCGGAGACACCUGUAGAGCACCUUUAUAAUCACCCAGUUACGUUGUGACGUUUGGUAGCACACAAAGUGUUCCUCCGGUAUUCAGGAGUUGCAUAAUCUCAUAGUCAUAGGAACAUGUAUAAGUCAUCACUACAAAAUAAAUACACUUCCGUGAUGAUACGUGUUUGUCACAGUAGGUCACGUUUUCUGUCAUGCAUGUACAUCCAUGACGAUUUUAUGACAGAAUCAAGAUAGUCAUACCUGUGCUGUCGUAGAAGUGUUCCAUGACAUAACCAAAAUUAUCAUCACGGAAGUGUCCACUUCCAUGACGAUAAAUCGCGCGUCACAGAAGUGCUUUCGUCAAGGGUGACCGACACGUGGCAUCCACCGUAACGGAACGCCGUUAAGCUACCAGGUCUGGUUUUGGAUCCGAUAACCCAUUAACAGCCCCGACCAGUGGGGAUUUUCCAUGUGUAAAAUCAUCAUUGGCUGGAGGAAACACGUGUCAGCUCACCGUUGGGACAGAUGUCAUCCACUCAUUGGACCCAAAGCGCCUAUGAUACGUCGACACGUGGCACGGCGCAACAGAGGCCCCAUUCCUGUGAAAAGGCCGGCCCGUUUGACUUGGUCAAAAGGUGGCGGGCCGGCCCACGGCAAGCCUGUUAACGACAUGUUCGCAUAUAGCCCAUUUAUAGCCCGCUAACCCAGGGCCCAUUUAGGGCCUAUCCGAAUUAGGCCCAGUAGCGUCAUCUGGGCUGUCCAAUAUAAUUCCAGCCCGUUUUAACUUGCGACCCAUGUAUGGCCCAUGACGUCUUUCGGCCCAUAUGAGGCCCUUUGUAACUCUCGGCCCAUUAACGGCCCGUGGUAAAACUGGCCCGUAAUGAACAGUGUAUCACUUUAUACCCAUUAACAACACGUGGUGAAACUGGCCCGUAAUGAAGAGUGUAUCACUUUAUAUCCAUUAACGGCCCAUUAUUCCGUUGGGCCGUUUCCAACCCAUGUUAUCUUUCGGCCUUCUCAGGGUCCAUUUAUUCUUGGGCUCAUUUCUAGCAUUCGUUUACUUAUGGCCCGUUACUGUCAUUUUCUGCUUGUGGGCCAAAUUCAGCCUGUGGUUAUAGUCGGCCCGUUUGUGGCCUGUUAAUACGUUGGGCCGUUUUCAUAGCGUUAUCAAAUACGGCCGAUUAACGACGACCCGUUAUGGUCGGCCCAUGAACGGGCGAUUUCAACUCUAGCCCAUUUACGACCAUAAUGUGGUCUGUUAUUGGCCCAUGUUUGGCCAACCGAUCAUACGGCCCGUAGAAGGCCCAUUGAUGAUACGGCCCGUAGAAGGCCCAUUGUGUCUACGGCCCGUAUAAGGCCCAUUGUUUCUACGCCCCGUAGAAGGCCCAUUGUUUCUACGGCCCGUAGGAGGCCCAUGUUAACUAAAGUAAAUAUGUAGCCCAUGGUUAUUGUGGCCUAGUUUUAAAAAAUAGGUUAUUGCGGCCACUAGCAAACCGCGGAAAAAGAACUACACUGACUACAAGAAAACAAAUAAACAAGACAAUAAGGAAAUAAAUUAGCAAGCAACUUAUGCUAGGCUAUCACGGCUAUUACACAUAUUACAUCCACUGGGCAUCAAAGUUCGCCACCAGUGCAAAUAUAGGGAACAAAGCAGCAUAUAAACGCCGCAACAAAACAAGUCCAGAACUGAAACCACUUCAGAAGGGCUCAAGAAACAAUAUCCUGGGUACCCAUAAUGCUGGCAAGAUGCUUAGCAAGCUUAUUAACUUUCUCUUGUUUGGCGCUUAAAUCCUCCAGCACUUGCUGUUGCACCAGAAAGUAUGCAUCUGAAUUCUGUAGGGACUUCCUCAGUCCUUCGGCUUCCUGUUGCAUAACAUCUGAUCGAUGUCUUUCAACUUGAAGUUGAGACUCAAGAAGCCGAACUGAUUCAGGCAGCGAGUUCGAAGAGCUGGUGCCAGCAGUAGUAGCCAGUAACUCAAACACUACAUCAAGACAGGACUUUGGGGUUGUCUCAGUGUCUUCAAUAUAGUUUUUAUCAGCUUUCUUGGAGACCAACAGGGAUGUCUCACUAUCUUGAACCUUAUCUGCAUUACUUCCUUUACCAUUGCAUAACGGGAUACUCUUCUCCAAUAUUUUAUCCGCGUUCUAAGAGAAACAAACAAACACAUCACAGGUUUACAAUGUAGUAUAUGAAACUCAUUUUGGUAAACCGGUUCAGUAGUAAGGUGGACAGGAUAACAUCAUGAAACAAACAUAUAUCUAUGUAGUAUGGUCACUGUAUGGUCUAUAUCAUUCUAGUUUAUGUUGCCAAAUCAAGAUAGAUACAGCUCGAAUCAUAUCUAUUUAAGACAAAGCAGCAUAGACAGAAUAUAAGUGUGGGAAACUACACAGCAAUAACAACACUUGUAAUGUGCAUGGCAUGAGAACAUAACUGUUUAUUCAAUUGAAACCGAAAUCAACAUAGAGCAAGUUACAAUAGCAAACACGUUAAAGAAACAGGUUUAAAACAUACCAGUUGCGCCAUUGGAGUUUCAAUUGCAUCCUUCAAAUUUGAAAUUAGUUGGUAUGAGUAAAUAUAGUGAUGCAAGAGCAAAGUAGUAUGAACCAUAGCUACGGAACCUGACCUGAGAACAAUUCUUCUUCUGCUUUAAGCGUUGACUUGGGGUUCGAAGUGGUGGUCCUCAUGCUUUGGGCACUGCAGUUGCCUUACUAACUGCUCGUGUUUGGGUGCUGUGUGGUGGAGACGGUGCUGUGUCAAUGGGAACUGGGUUACUAUCUGCUGGGGUUGGGGUUAGAAGGGGUGUAGCUGGUUCUCUGUCCAACUGGGUAGGGGUACAAUCUGCGUGAGUCUGGGUUAUGUGUGGUGGGGCUGGUUCUUGGGCAAGUACAACUGUGGUUCUAUCUCCAUCGACAGGUAGCACGAUCUUUUCUGAAGACCGUGUUUUUACUCCCACAGAUACUUCCAUCACCCCCUCCAAUUGAAAUGGCUGAUAAACAAGAAAAGUAAUUGAAUGUACAGACAUUGUAAGAUAGACAGGUGCAAUGGGUAGUAGGGAAGAAAAUAGGGCAUGAAAUAAUUCACAUAUAUAAACUAAGCUAUGUCAUUUGCUUAGUUUAGACAUGCUUUGUUGCAAGACAUUAUAUAUGUGAAUUAUGCAAUGCCAUCUUGUUGCAAGACAUUAUAUAUGUGAAUUAUGCAAUGCUAUCUUGUUGCAAGACAUUAUAUAUGUGAAUUAUGCAUAAUUCACAUAUAUGGUAAUUAGACACUAAACAGGUGGCAUUCACACAAAGCAUGUCUAAACUAAGCAAAUGACAUAGCAAUGCAAGAUACCAUACGCACGAUAUGAGCAACAUAACCCUGCCAAGUUAGAGCAUGCACCUCGGGGGGGGGGGGGAAUAGGACUGGUCAUCUGUCUCUGAAUCCUCCUCUGAGGAGCUAUCUGUAACCAGCAAGACAUGCGCUUCGUCAGAUAACAUUGUCUGCUCUGAAGACCUUGUUUCCACUCCAGAUUUUUCCAUGACCGUGCCGAAUGGCUGAUGCACAGGAAGAGUAAUUGAAUGUACUAAAAUUGUUGACAAAUUUAACACGUAAUAAAAAAAUGAUGUCAUGAUAUAAUUCACAUAUAAGAUGACUGGCUAACCAGGGUGGCAUUGCAAAAUUCACAUAUAUGAUGCCUGGCUAAACAAGAUGGCAUUGCAUGAUUCACAUAUACGAUAAAGAAACUAAACAAAUGGCAUUGACACAAAGCAUGUCUAAACUAAGCAGAUCACAUGUUUGAUGUAUACAGUAAGCAAUGCAAGGCACCAUAUGCAUGAUAUUACCAACAUCACCAUGCCAAGUUAGAGUGAAGACCUCAUGGGGUAAAUACGAGUGGUCUUCUGCUUCUGAAUCCCCCUCAGAACAGUUAUCUUCCUCUUGAUUACGAUCCGAAAUGGGUGGAGGGGGGCUGCCUUUGCGCCCACCAUGGAGCGACGUCUGCAUGAAAUUUUAUUGCCACGCAAGGCUCGUCUCUUUUGCUCUACAUGUUCAGUUCCAUUGUGUACAAUAACUGACAUGCAUAGGAAUAAAACAUAGUGAGAUUAUGUAAGGAGUGCAUGCACAAAUCCAGAGUGAUGGUAGCAAACUGUGGAUAGACCCAAAACCAAUGAUAGCAGGCAGAUAAUAGCUUUAGUUAAAAAAUACAGAUAAUGGCUCCUUUAAUGUUUGUUUGCACCCAACAUGAAACUCAUAGUAGACACCCGAGAUUAACUAGAUAGUAGACAUAUAGUACUGAUUGCUGUCCCAAUAUGUACCCCACAACCAUUUAAAAACUCAAGUUUCAGCAUAAGUAUGGACCUGACUCGGAGUCUAAUAGGUGAACACGACGAUAAAGUAGCAUGUCAUCAUAUUAAGCGAUGCAUAACGUAAGCAGACACGGAAGAGUGCGACCUCUCUUGCGGACCCGUGUAGUCCUCAAGGUCAUCUGCUCAGUUGAUGAUGGUAAUGCAGUUGUCGUGGCUGCUGGCGGUGGGGAAGAAGAUCUGAGGCGGCGAAAGACAGUCUGGAGAGCGGAUCCCUGCUGUGGUGAACCCUUCCGUCGUUGGAGCAGCUGAGCUGGGGUGGAACACAGCACCGCAGGAGCAGGACAAACCACACAAGGUUUUCUUUGACACAUAUCUGUAACAGAAGUAAUUGUGUAAGGGCUUGUUUGAAUUUGAGGAUUCUAACAAUGCAGGGAUAGGAAAUAGACAGGAAUAGGAUAGGAAUGCACGUACGAAACAGAGAAUUUAAAAACACAUGAUUUCUGCCAAUCUGGGUGUUUGGUUCACAAGAAUUGGAAGAUCACAAGAUGCAAAGAAUCAUGGUGAGAUUAAGUCAAACCACAAGAAAAUGUACGGUUAUAAUGCUAUUAUGCUACUACUCCCUCCGUUCCAAAUUACUCGUCGCAGAAAUGGAUGUAUCUAGAACUGAAAUACAUCUAGAUACAUCCAUACCUGCGACAAGUAAUUCGGAACGGAGGGAGUAUCUCUUAGUCUUGUGCUUCAUGAAUAGGAAUUUGAAAAGGAGGACAAGUGGAAAUUAAAAUUCCUACGGUUUUUCUUUCAAGGAGACACUAAAGGAACAAAUCCUACAAUUUUCCUUUGCUCCAUUCCUUUGCACCAAAUUCAUGAAAAAUAGUACCAUAGGAAACUUUCCAAUUCCUAUGUUUUUCAUUCACUUUUCCUUUCAAGCACUGGCGAUUCUAGUAGGCAGGCUUGAGCAAGGAAAAUCCUACACUAAAAAAUGUUUUUGUGCUACUUCUGUUACUUUGGACCCAGGCCACUGCCGUACUAGCUCAGCUCCCAGGGCCAUCGACAAAUGCACAACUCAAACGCGCAGAGAUAAAUAAUGAUGGCGUUCAAGAGUGUCCAUCACGGAUAGCUAAGUUGCCUGGUACCUCACUGUUUGUCAUAUAGUAGGAUAAAAUAAUUGUAUUUCCCGUUACUCCGUGUGCUCAGUGGACAAUAUAUAUAACAUGUAGAGUAAAAAAGAGAUGCAACAAGUGUACAACCUCUUUGGCGAAGCCAUGUCGAUCUCAGCGUGAUUGCGUUGGCCGGUGAGGAUGCUCCGGCUGACUUGGCUGUCGGAGGAGGGGAAGAAGAUCUUAGGCGUCUGGAGAUGGAGCCUGAGGUACUGCUCCGCUGUGAUGGAGGGUUUCGUCGUUUGAGCAGCUCCGGUGAGUUGUACAACGCCGAGGCUGAAGCAGGAUAAGAGAGACAACGUUAACGUGAGUGGAAUUCUAAUAGCAUCUCCAAUAGAUGACGUAAAAUACAUAACCACAAAGUGCUAGAUGUAAAAUACAUCAGCCGCUCAUCUCUGAACUUAACUGUCGAAACUGAAUUUUGCUGUCGAAACUGAAUUUUGCUGUCGAAAUUGAACGCACUAGAGGUGAUGCUACACGUCAGUCGACUGACUUUUUCAUCUCUGGUCAGUCGAUUUUGCAGCUGUUGGAUAUGAAAUCAAGGGCCUGCAGUUCAUCUUCAACCUCCACCCCCCUGAGCCGCCAGCCACCACCGGCCAAAUAGCCGCCCCCCCCCGCCCGCGGCCGGCGGUGCGCCGCCUCGCCCGCCCCGAAAACACUCCCCACCGCCGGUCUGCCGCCGCCCCGGCCAUCUAUCUAGCCCNNNNNNNNNNNNNNNNNNNNNNNNNNNNNNNNNNNNNNNNNNNNNNNNNNNNNNNNNNNNNNNNNNNNNNNNNNNNNNNNNNNNNNNNNNNNNNNNNNNNNNNNNNNNNNNNNNNNNNNNNNNNNNNNNNNNNNNNNNNNNNNNNNNNNNNNNNNNNNNNNNNNNNNNNNNNNNNNNNNNNNNNNNNNNNNNNNNNNNNNNNNNNNNNNNNNNNNNNNNNNNNNNNNNNNNNNNNNNNNNNNNNNNNNNNNNNNNNNNNNNNNNNNNNNNNNNNNNNNNNNNNNNNNNNNNNNNNNNNNNNNNNNNNNNNNNNNNNNNNNNNNNNNNNNNNNNNNNNNNNNNNNNNNNNNNNNNNNNNNNNNNNNNNNNNNNNNNNNNNNNNNNNNNNNNNNNNNNNNNNNNNNNNNNNNNNNNNNNNNNNNNNNNNNNNNNNNNNNNNNNNNNNNNNNNNNNNNNNNNNNNNNNNNNNNNNNNCAUCGCCCCCAGCCUGAACCCUAAGAUAGAUAGUGGGGUACCUCUCCGGUGAGCCCCCCUCCCCGCUGCGGCUGGUUCUUCCUUAACUCCGGCGAGCCCCCCCUGAAAAUCGACUGACCCAAAAGUCGAUUCAGUCGACUGAAGUGUAGCUAAAUUGGAGCAGCAUCACAAGCAAGAGCAGCAGUGCGAGCAAGAGCAAGAGCAAUAGCAAGAGCAGACCAUGCAGGGGACCGAGAGCAAGAGCAGAGCAGCAGCGCGAGCGAGAGCUAAAGCAGCAGCAGCUCCUACUGAUGUGGACGUCGCCACCGAGGGAGCGACGCCGUGGAGGAAGUGGCCGGCGACGCUGCCGUGGAUGGAGCCGUGCCGUGUCGGCUCGGGACCGAGCGCCGAUAGCACCGUGAGAUCGAAUCAAGAAGAAAAUGCGGCGAUUAGUGUACAACCUCUUUGGUGGCGCCGAUUAGGCCGCAGCUUCAUCCGAGGAAACGGUGAUGAUGAUGCUCUUCCGGUGGUGCGGGUGAAGACGGCGGUGUGGUAAUGGAGGUGGCGCGAAAGACAAGGGGAACGUCGGGGCAGCUCCUUGGAGGUGGAGGACGGGGUGGCUUAACCGGCGGGACGACCAAAUCGAUGACGGAUCCUCAUCCGGUAUGGUGGAUGAGGGACGUCGAGUUGUUGCUGUGGACGACGUCGUCGGGGAAGAGGCUCUGGCUGGGUGGCGGACGGAGGAGGGUGUGGGGCUUCGCGGGUUUCCCGGCCUCGGUGUACGAAUGGGUGGGCGGAUGGGAUGGGAGUGGGGAACCACGGCUUAGGGACACGCUUGUCCGAAAUGUGGGGUAAGUUACGAAAGUACCCCCACCGAUUUGAGGCGGUUCUUUCGGUUCAGGGGUAUCACGGGCAUUUCGUGUGUCGGGAUUUCACAGGAGGUGGGAGUUUUCGCGCGCGUUGUAAUUUUGGAAUAGUAAGGCGCGGGUUGAGAUGGAGGGUGUUGUCGGAGCACAACGAGACAAAGAUAUAUCUUAAAUAUUUCGGGCUAACAAGGCGUGAGUUGAAAUUUCCGGACAAGCCUAACAUGUAUUGUACCAAAUCAAUUCGCACUACAAAUGUCACUCAAAACUUUGAAUUCAUGUUAUGUUCAAUUAAAAUAUUUCGCUACGUGUAUAAUGCAUGCAACCUACUACUCAAAUGAACGUUUUAGUGCAUUCCAAACGUAUAUACUACCGCUUCAAUAUGAACUAAAUUUGAAUUCGUUUCUCUAUUUGAAUAAGAUCUACAAUAAUGAUUGUUGUGAACAUUUGAAUUCGUUUCUCUAUUUUAAUAAAAUCUACAAUCAUCAUUAUUGUCAAGUUAAACCAUCGUUUGUGUAUUAUCUUCACAGCACACCACAUGAUUAGUCUCGAGUUACAUAUGAACUAUGUGUAUUAUAUGAACUCGAACUUGAUUUUUUGAAUCCACUUUAGGUUGAUUUCAAAUCACAGUACAUUUCAAGCUCUAGCUAGAUCUUCAUAAUCUAAACCAUGUCUCAUAUGUAUAAUGUGUUUAUCACAUUAUGUAUGGUGCCCCGCCCCCUACGCCUACAAGUAUCUAGAUGUGAGUUGCAAACACCACACAUUACCACAAAUUCAAAUAAAAUGUGAGAAUGUUCAAUAUAUAGUAUUGUUUAGAUUGUUCGAUAUUUAGUUGUAAGCUGCAAACGCCACACAUUAUCACAAAUUCAAAUAAAAUGUGAGAUUGUUCGAUGUAUAGUAUGGUUUAGAUUGUUCGACAUUUAGCUGUGAGUUGUAAACGCCAUGCAUUAUCACAUUAUGGUAUAACAUGUGCAAAACCACAACACGCGUAUCACCGCUAUAUUCAUGCAUGCAUAUGUUUAAAACUCUAUGAUUUCCUAUUCAAAUAUAUGAAUCCACUUUCAUAUCAAAUUAUGAUCUUUGUUAGUCUCUUACACCCACACAAUCCUCUAACCUUUGUAGCUACCACUAACUUUCUCUCGUGCAUGCACACGCCCUCCUCGCCCUCCCCCUCCCUCGGUAUUCUAUCCAUCGUGCACAUUCAUUUUUUUUCUUUAGGUCGUUCUCCCACAGUCUCCACAACUCCUUUCCAACACACACCGAUCGAUAAACCUCUCGAGCGAUGUCUGCCUACAACAUACACACGCACCUUCAAUCUCCUCCUUUAUGUGUCCUUGCCUUGUGUCUCUCAUAUGGUCCCACACACGUGUAAACUCUCGCCCCUCUUUUCAUCAAUCUCACAACCGCACACUCCCCCCUAUCUAGCUAGUAGCCGGGCCUCUCGCACCACCUCCUAGCUCCAUUCUCUCUGUCUAUCCGUCUCACCGGCCCUUAUUUGCUUCUAACAAAUGGACGUACACCGACCGAUCUCCCGCUAUACAUAUAGCUAGCUAGGUCCUUAUAACUCGGUUUUCCCCAUGCGUCGAUCGAUCUACCUCAUUAGUUAUGUCUCUCCCUUCCUCCGACAAACAACAAUUGAUCUACCGAUCUAGUUAGGUUUGCUUACCAAACACAUGGUUCCCCUUCAUCAUCCAUGGAUGCGUCCCGAUAGAUCUAUCACGCACAGGCACACACAGAAACACAUCCCCACUCUUAUUGAUAAUAUUGCAGUUCCACCCUCAGUUUGUCUAGUAGGCCUCUCCCACCAUCUUCGAGAAGCAACUCCAUCACCCAUCCAACACUCUACCCCUCUCCCUCCCUCUCUCCUCUCUCUCUCUCUCUCUGUCCCAUCCUAUUUCCCGUCCUUCAGUUAUGUAUGGAUGUCGACCGAUCUCCCUCAAGACAUAGCUGGGUCUCUCCUUCUCAACACAUAUACGAGUCGUUCUACCUCUAUAGUUAGGCAUCUGCCUACCCCUCCCCCCACCCCCUCCCACACACACACAUCGAUACAUCNNNNNNNNNNNNNNNNNNNNNNNNNNNNNNNNNNNNNNNNNNNNNNNNNNNNNNNNNNNNNNNNNNNNNNNNNNNNNNNNNNNNNNNNNNNNNNNNNNNNNNNNNNNNNNNNNNNNNNNNNNNNNNNNNNNNNNNNNNNNNNNNNNNNNNNNNNNNNNNNNNNNNNNNNNNNNNNNNNNNNNNNNNNNNNNNNNNNNNNNNNNNNNNNNNNNNNNNNNNNNNNNNNNNNNNNNNNNNNNNNNNNNNNGAUACAUCGAGCGCUCUAGUCAUGUCUCCCUGCCACACACAAACUUGACCUAUGCCCUCUGACGUUCCGGUAGGUCAGUCGCCCUAUAUCUUUGACUUGCACACACACACAAUUUCGAUGGCUCUCUUCAUCGAUUUCGAACCCACCCACUUGAUCCUCUCUUUGACUCUAUCGAUAUCUAUGACCCCUCCCUCUCUUCUCGUGGAUCGCCCGACCCUCUAUAUAUGAUAUGGAUAGGCCUCCAUUUCACACACAUUGCAUGCAAAAUUUUGUUUGAGAUGUCAUCGACACAUAUUCCCACAAAUACAUUCACGAAAUCAACCCCCCCAAAACAAAAAACACUCACGAACGCACAAGCCAUUUUUCUAGGUUUAUAUCUCUCUCAAACACACCUACUUAGGUGGGGACGUGCACGAAGAGAAGAGGUGCACGCACGUCGCACGUACUCCCGUCUCUUUCCCAACCACACCUGCGUGGGUACACGGUGGAGCUCAUUUCUGUACGAAAAGGAAGCCCACGUGGUAAUUUGACACGUGUACUGGUUGUCCACUUGAUGGAGGGAGGAUCGUCUACCACGGGUGAACAAACAAAUUUCGACUUGACGCGUUAUGUUAAAAAAGAGGCAAACCAUGUGGGGCCUACCUUAGAGGCAAGGCUCUAUACACUGGAGUACUUUUGAUGUGUCCCAUCAACUCGCAGAACGAGGAGAAGCUUGCUUAGUACGCCGUCUCCCCCGCCCGCGGGCGCGGUGGCUCGCAGGAUGAGGUGAAGCUUGCUUACUAGUAGUAGUAUUGUACGCCUUACGCCCGUUCCCUCGCCCACGCGCGCGGUGGCUCGCAGGACGAGGAGAAAAUUUUACUACUCCCUCCGUUUACUCCUCAUCCCUACUACCUUGGUUAGAGAGAUUAUCAUAUCGUUUGGAAUAUAUAUGUCCUUUAGUAGAUUUCAAUAUGAACUACUAGUACAUACUCCAAACACUGAUGUAUAUAGACGUAUUUUAGAGUGUAGAUUCACUCAUUUUUCUCCGUAUGUAGUCCAUAUUGAGGCCUUGUUUGGUUCAUAAGUCCUAGGACUUUUUCUAGUCCCAACUAAAAAGUCCCUACUCCUUAAAAAGUCCCUCCCUGUUUGUUUUCAGGGACUAAAAAGUCCCUAGUCCCUCCCUAGAGGUUAUUGAAUGACCAUGUUACCCCCAGUAUACAGAAAAACAACAACCAAACAACACCAUGGGGCGGCGGGGCAAUGGGUGCAGGGAGGGGCAUUGUUGGAAAAGUCCCAAAAAAGACUCUCCUUGAGAGUAUUCUUCAUUAAGUCCCAAAAAGCAAGUUUUAAUCCCUAGUAGUCCCUUCUGUUUAGUUAAAAAGUCUCUAAGAGGGACUUUUUCUAGUCCCUACAAUAAAAAGUCGCUGGAAACAAACGCCCCUUGCAUAAAGUUGAGACACUUAUUUUGGAACGGAGGGAGUACAUAUUUGCUAUGAUCUUUUUGAGGAACCGAUAUUUGCUAUGAUCUGUCAAUCAUUGAGAUGCAAUAGAAUGCAUGUUAGUCUCCUUUGUAUUUGAUGAAAUGUUGCAACAGGCAACCUUGGACGCAAGAUACAUGUAACAGAAGCUGGAAGCUUCAUAGCAUUGUACUAUCUCGCUGAUAAAUUACAGUACGUACUAUACUAGUACUUACUCCGUUCCUAAAUAUAAGUCUUUGUAGAGAUUUCACCAUGAACCACAUACGGAUGUAUAUAGAUACAUUUUAAGUGUAGAUUCAUUCAUUUUGUUCCGUAUGUAGUCCACCUAGUGGAAUCUCUACAAAGACUUAUAUUUAGGAACAGAGGGAGUACUAUGUAAAGAGUUAGGUGUCGCACGGUGUCCAGAAAAUAUGGUGAUAGUGUGAGGUGGGCCAUGUAAUCGCUGAGCCUGCGUGUUUUCACUGCUCUUGCACUCCUCCGCCGUAAGAAUGGAGAAAAUUUUAAGCAAGUAGUACAUCCUUUCGCCGUAAGCGUGGGACAUCCAGCAGUCCUACCACCUCAGUAAUAAUGACCAAUGAGCCGUCAAAUCACAUAGACCCAGCAGUAAGUUGGACGGACGAAGCAACCAUCACUCUUGAAUCCGCUUCUCCCUUCAACGCAGGCGCCAGUGAAAGGUCGCAGCCGCUCUGCCCGGGCAUGAAUGCGGCACCGAUUCUUUGGAGCGGCGCUAACCGUUUCGGGCGAGAAGCGCGCGCGGGCGAUGGAGGGGCUUUGGGUGGGCCAGGCUGGUCAGGAGCGAGCGUGGCAGCUGUCCGCCUGUCCCUAUCGGACGUCCGGAAACGAGAGGAUGCACCGACUCUCGCGGCUAAAAUUGUACACUACACACUGAUGUCUACUACGCAACCUUCUUCUUGUAGACGUUGUUGGGCCUCCAAGUGCAGAGGUUUGUAGGACAGUAGCAAAUUUCCCUCAAGUGGAUGACCUAAGGUUUAUCAAUCCGUGGGAGGCGUAGGAUGAAGAUGGUCUCUCUCAAACAACCCUGCAACCAAAUAACAAAGAGUCUCUUGUGUCCCCAACACACCCAAUACAAUGGUAAAUUGUAUAGGUGCACUAGUUCGGCGAAGAGAUGGUGAUACAAGUGCAAUAUGGAUGGUAGAUCUAGGUUUUUGUAAUCUGAAAAUAUAAAAACAGCAAGGUAACAAGUGGUAAAAGUGGGCACAAACAGUAUUGCAAUGCUAGGAAACAAGGCCUAGGGUUUAUACUUUCACUAGUUCAAGUUCUCUCAACAAUAAUAACAUAAUUGGAUCAUAUAACUAUCCCUCAACAUGCAACAAAGAGUCACUCCAAAGUCACUAAUAGCGGAGAACAAACAAAGAGAUUAUGGUAGGGUACGAAACCACCUCAAAAUUAUUCUUUCCAAUCAAUCCGUUGGGCUAUUCCUAUAAGUGUCACAAACAACCCUAGAGUUCGUACUAGAAUAACACCUUAAGACACAAAUCAACCAAAACCCUACUGUCACCUAGAUACUCCAAUGUCACCUCAAGUAUCCGUGGGUAUGAUUAUACGAUAUGCAUCACACAAUCUCAGAUUCAUCUAUUCAACCAACACAUAGAACGUCAAAGAGUGCCCCAAAGUUUCUACCAGAGAGUCAAGACGAAAACGUGUGCCAACCCCUAUGCAUAGGUUCAUGGGCGGAACCCGCAAGUUGAUCACCAAAACAUACAUCAAGUGAGUCACGUGAUAUCCCAUUGUCACCACAGAUACGCACGGCAAGACAUACAUCAAGUGUUCUCAAAUCAUUAAAGACUCAAUCCGAUAAGAUAACUUCAAAGGGAAAACUCAAUCCAUUACAAGAGAGUAGAGGGGGAGAAGAAACAUAAGAUCCAACUAUAAUAGCAAAGCUCGCGAUACAUCAAGAUCGUAUCACCUCAAGAACACGAGAGAGAGAGAUCAAACGCAUAGCUACUGGUACAUACCCUCAGCCCCGAGGGUGAACUACUCCCUCCUCGUCAUGGAGAGCGCCGGGAUGAUGAAGAUGGCCACCGGUGAAGGUUCCCCCCUCCGGCAGGGUGCCGGAACAGGGUCCCGAUUGGUUUUUGGUGGCUACAGAGGCUUGCGGCGGCGGAACUCCCGAUCUAUUCUGUUCCCCGAUCGUUUUAGGGUAUAUGGAUAUAUAUAGGCGGAAGAAAUACGCCAGGGGAGCCACAAGGGGCCCACGAGGGUGGAGGGCGCGCCCAGGGGGGUGGGCGCCCCCCCUGCCUCGUGCCUCCCUCGUUUCUUUCCUGACGUGCACUCCAAGUCUACCGGGUUGCUUUCUUUCCAAAAAUAACUUCUCCAGAAGGUUUCAUUCCGUUUCGACUCCGUUUGAUAUUCCUUUUCUUCGAAACACUGAAACAAGGGAAAAAACAGGAACUGGCACUGGGCUCUGGGUCAAUAGGUUAGUCCCAAAAUAAUAUAAAAGUGCAUAGUAAAGCCCACAAAACAUCCAAGAUGGAUAAUAUAAUAGCAUGAAUACUUCAUAAAUUAUAGAUACGUUGGAGAUGUAUCAGUAUCCCCAAGCUUAAUUCCUGCUCGUCCUCGAGUAGGUAAAUGAUAAAAGAAAGAAUUUAUGAAGUGUGAAUGCUAGCAGGUGCAUAAGUUUGAUCAAUGAUAAUUUCAAUAACCUUUUCUAGCAUCAUUAUAUGUCAUAACAGUAGCUCAACUCAUAGACCUUUUCAUGAUCAAGUAACAAACUAUUCACGUGUUAAAGUAUAGAUCAUAAACUUUCUUGAAAACUAACAAACAGUUCUCAGUCAUCAAACAAUUGCAAUUCAUCUUAUUUUCGAGAAGAGUCCAUGUCAGAGCUUUGAUUUAGCAAACUCCACAUAUUCAACUAUCAUAUAGUCUUCCAUGAUUGCUACCACUCAAAGCAUAUUUUUAGAACAAAUAGCAUCCAUCGAACAUAGAGAAAGAUAGGGGCUUAUUGUUUCGCCUCCAAACCUUUUACCUCAAGGGUAAUGUCAACAGUAAUAAUUCAUGCUCAAAUAUAUUUGAAUGGCCAUAUAUGCCUAGAUCUUUCCAUCACAUGAUGCUUGCCAACUAAAGAGUAGGUUGGAAUGAGAAGGAGUACUACAGACUCUUGCAUAAAAGUAAAAGAUAGGCCCUUCACAGAGGGAAGCAGGGAUUUGCAGAGGUGCCAGAGCUCGAAGCAAAAACAGAGAAGAAAAUAAUUUUCAGAGGUAUGCUUUCAUUGUCAACAUAACGACCAAGAGUUCCCAAUAUCUUCCAUACUACAUACAUUAUAGGCGGUUCCCAAACAGAAAGGUAAAGAUUUUAACUCCCCGUCCACCAACAAUCAUCAAUCCAUGGCUUGCCCGAAACAACGGGUGCCUCCAACUAACAUCAAACCUGGGGGAGUUUUGUUUGCAAUUAUUUUUGAUUUGAUUUCGAUCUUUUGAUCAUGGGACUGGGCAUCCCAGUUACCAGCCAUUUUCUCGUGAAUGAUGAGCGGAGUCCACUCAUCGUGAGAAUAACCCACCUAGCAUGGAAGAUACUGCUAGCCCGUAGUCGCUACAUGAGCGAUUCGGGCAUACAAAAUAGAUUAUUAUUUGAAGGUUUAGAGUUUGGCACAUGCAAAUUUACUUGGAACGGCAGGUAAAUACCACAUAUAGGUAGAUAUGGUGGACACUCAUGGAAGAAACUUGGUUCAAGGAUUUUGGAUGCACAAGCAGUAUUCCCGCUUAGUACAGAUAUUUUGGCUAGCAAAGGAUUCUAAAUAGCAAGCACCACAUGUUAGAGGAUCCAAAACAAUAUAACUUAUACAAAUAUACCCAAGCAUAACUCAUUACGUUGUCUUCCUUGUCCAACUUCAACUAAUUUGCUCAGGUUUGAAAAUAAUUAAAGGGGAUCACAAUCAUAGAAGAUGUCCAAGAUAGUAUAUUUAUAUGUGAAAUCUCUCUUCCUUCAAUAUUCUUUCAUGAAUUGUUCAAGUGACCAAUACAAUGUUUGCUAACCUUCAAUAAAUUUACCACCUCUACUUCUUAUAUGUGAAGGCAUUACUCCCCAUGGGAAAGACAUAUGAAACAUAUAUAAUUUCAGAUAUAUGACAUUCAAAUCAUUCAACCAUUUACUCAUAGGAUAUAAGUGAAGCACACGAGUAAAUGACAAACUACUCCAAAAAGAUAUAAGUGAAGAUCAAUGAGUAGUUAAAGAAUUAUGUAGCUAUGUGAAGACUCUCUCUCAUUUAAGAACUUCAGAUCUUGGUAUUUUAUUUAAACAGCAAGCAAAGCUAAAGAAAAUAAAAUGACGCUCCAAGCAAAACACAUAUCAUGUGGUGAAUAAAAAUAUAGCUCCAAGUAAAGUUACCGAUGAACGAAGACGAAAGAGGGGAUGCCAUCCGGGGCAUCCCCAAGCUUAGGCUCUUGGUUGUCCUUGAAUAUUACCUUGGGGUGCCUUGGGCAUCCCCAAGCUUAGGCUCUUGCCACUCCUUAUUCCAUAGUCCAUCGAAUCUUUACCCAGAACUUGAAAACUUCACAACACAAAACUUAACAGAAAACUCGUGAGCUCCGUUAGCGAAAGAAAACAAAACACCACUUCAUGGUACUGUAAUGAACUCAUUAUUUAUUUGUAUUUGUGUUAAACCUACUGUAUUCUAACUUCUCUAUGGUUUAUAAACUAUUUUACUAGCCAUAGAUUCAUCGAAAUAAGCAAACAACACACAAAAAACAGAAUCUGUCAAAAACAGAACAGUCUGUAGUAAUCUGUAACUAACGCAAACUUCUGGAACUCAGAAAAAUCCACCAAAAUAGGACGACCUAGAUAAUUUUUUAUUGAUCUACUGCAAUUGGAAUCAGUAUUUUAUCACGUUCUGGUGAUUUUUAAUAAUUGUUUUCGUGAACAGAAAGUUUCUGGAAUUUUCAGCAAGAUCAAAUAACUAUCAUCCAAGAAGAUCCUAUAGGUCUUACUUGGCACAAACACUAAUUAAAACAUAAAACCACAUCUAACCAGAGGCUAGAUCAAAUAUUUAUUACUAAAUAGAACCAAAAAGAAAGAACAAAAAUAAAAAUUGGGUUGCCUCCCAACAAGCGCUAACGUUUAACGCCCCUAGCUAGGCAUGAUGAUUUCAAUGAUGCUCGCAUAAAAGAUAAGAAUUGAAACAUAAAGAGAGCAUCAUGAAGAAUAUGACUAGCACAUUUAAGUCUAACCCACUUCCUAUGCAUAGGGAUUUUGUGAGCAAACAACUUAUGGGAACAAUAAUCAACUAGCAUAGGAAGGCAAAACAAGCAUAACUUUAAAACUUUAAGCACAUAGAGAGGAAAUUUGAUAUUAUUGCAAUUCCUACAAUCAUAUAUUCCUCCCUCAUAAUAAUUUUCAGUAGCAUCAUGAAUAAAUUUAACAAUAUAACCAUCACAUAAAGCAUUCUUUUCAUGAUCUACAAGCAUAGAAUUUUUACUACUCUUCACAUAAGCAAAUUUAUUCUCCUUCGGAAUAGUGGGAGCAAACUCAACAAAAUAACUAUCAUACGAUUCAAAAUUAAGAUCAAGAUGACAAGUUUCAUGGUUAUCAUUAUUAUUUAAAGCAUACGUGUCAUCACAAUAAUCAUCAUAGAUAGGAGGCAUGCUUUCAUCAUAGUAAAUUUGCUCAUCAAAGCUUGGGGGACAAAAAAUAUCACCUUCAUUAAACAUAGCAUCCCCAAGCUUGGGACCAACAUUAAUUUCAGCAAAUAUAUUCUCAAAUAUGUCAUUCUCAUCAAACAUAGCUUCUCCAAGCUUGGGCCUUUUCAUAUCAUAAGCAUAAUCACUCUCAUCAUUAAUAGUAUGGAUAGCACCAAUAGUAUAGCAAUUAUCAUAUUCUUCCAAGCAAGUGCCAAAAAGAUUCUCAAGAUCAUAAGAAGUAUCAUUAUCUUCCCAAUCAUAAUCAUCAGAACAAGCAAUAGGCAUAACGAGAUCAUCAUCAAGUGCAUCAUCUUCCACAAUUAUUUUUGAUUCAUUUCCAUGAGGCACUAUAAUAAUAGGAGCAACAUUAUUUGGGAGAUAUAUCUUUUUACCUCUCUUCCUUUUUCUUUUCUUCUUCUUCACCUCAUGUGUGGGUUCAAUCCUCUUUUUGGAGCUCCUUAUUAAUGAGAUUGGUUGAAUAGAAGGCUCCUCCUCAUUACCUGAUUCAUCAUAAGAAAUAAUAGGAGAAUAUUGGGAAGUCUCUUCCCUUUCAUUAGUGUUCUCUUCAUCUUCUAUUUGCUUUCUUUUCUUUAUGUAAUUGGCAAUAUAAGGAUUUUAAAUGCAAUUCACCGCACAAUACAUACAAAUCUUCUCUAGAUCAAAAUCAAGAAAUCUAUCAAGAUUAAACUUUGGAAUACCCUCAGUUAUACGUUUCAUUUCCUCAUACCCCAAAAGAAUACUAAGCUCUUUAUGAUGCUCAAGGGUAAUCCAAUUAUCACAAAUUUUUGGACACGAUUCGGUCAUGAAACAAUUUGCAUUGGAGAUUUAAAUGACCAUGUUCAUUGCAAAGUUCACAAGGAUCGCGAAAAAUAUUGAAUUUUUCAGCACAAACAUCAAGACUUUCUUGCAACAAUUUAGUUUCUAAAUGCUUGUGCCUCUUGCAAUAUCUAUCUUCCCUAUUUGGUGUGUACUUGCAAACCCAAUACACUCCACAAAAAUCAACAUGCUUAUAAGAGAUAUUUUCAUCAUGACUAGUGCAAUUAUCAUUAGUACCAUGGAUAUUCAAGGAAUUCAUACUAACAACAUUGCAAUCAUGCUCAUCAUUCAAAGAUUUAGUGCCAAACAUUUUAAUGCAUUCUUCUUCUAACACUUUGGCACAAUUUUCUUUUCCAUCAUACUCACGAAAGAUAUUAAAAAGAUGAAGCGUAUGAGGCAAACUCAAUUCCAUUUUUUUGUAGUUUUCUUUUAUAAACUAAACUAGUGAUAAAACAAUAAACAAAAAGAUUCGAUUGCAAGAUCUCAAGAUAUACCUUCAAGCACUCACUUCCCCGACAACGGCACCAGAAACUGCUUGAUGUCUACUACGCAACCUUCUUCUUGUAGACGUUGUUGGGCCUCCAAGUGCAGAGGUUUGUAGGACAGUAGCAAAUUUCCCUCAAGUGGAUGACCUAAGGUUUAUCAAUCCGUGGGAGGCGUAGGAUGAAGAUGGUCUCUCUCAAACAACCCUGCAACCAAAUAACAAAGAGUCUCUUGUGUCCCCAACACACCCAAUACAAUGGUAAAUUGUAUAGGUGCACUAGUUCGGCGAAGAGAUGGUGAUACAAGUGCAAUAUGGAUGGUAGAUAUAGGUUUUUGUAAUCUGAAAAUAUAAAAAUAGCAAGGUAACAAGUGGUAAAAUUGAGCACAAACGGUAUUGCAAUGCUAGGAAACAAGGCCUAGGGUUCAUACUUUCACUAGUGCAAGUUCUCUCAACAAUAAUAACAUAAUUGGAUCAUAUAACUAUCCCUCAACAUGCAACAAAGAGUCACUCCAAAGUCACUAAUAGCGGAGAACAAACGAAGAGAUUAUGGUAGGGUACGAAACCACCUCAAAGUUAUUCUUUCCAAUCAAUCCGUUGGGCUAUUCCUAUAAGUGUCACAAACAACCCUAGAGUUUGUACUAGAAUAACACCUUAAGACACAAAUCAAUCAAAACCCUAAUGUCACAUAGAUACUCCAAUGUCACCUCAAGUAUCCGUGGGUAUGAUUAUACGAUAUGCAUCACACAAUCUCAGAUUCAUCUAUUCAACCAACACAUAUAACGUCAAAGAGUGCCCCAAAGUUUCUGCCGGAGAGUCAAGACGAAAACGUGUGCCAACCCCUAUGCAUAGGUUCAUGGGCGGAACCCGCAAGUUGAUCACCAAAACAUACAUCAAGUGAGUCACGUGAUAUCCCAUUGUCACCACAGAUACGCACGGCAAGACAUACAUCAAGUGUUCUCAAAUCAUUAAAGACUCAAUCCGAUAAGAUAACUUCAAAGGGAAAACUCAAUCCAUUACAAGAGAGUAGAGGGGGAGAAGAAACAUAAGAUCCAACUAUAAUAGCAAAGCUCGCGAUACAUCAAGAUCGUAUCACCUCAAGAACACGAGAGAGAGAGAGAGAGAGAUCAAACACAUAGCUACUGGUACAUACCCUCAGCCCCGAGGGUGAACUACUCCCUCCUCGUCAUGGAGAGCGCCGGGAUGAUGAAGAUGGCCACCGGUGAAGGUUCCCCCCUCCGGGAGGGUGCCGGAACAGGGUCCCGAUUGGUUUUUGGUGGCUACAGAGGCUCGCGGCGGCGGAACUCCUGAUCUAUUCUGUUCCCCGAUCGUUUUAGGGUAUAUGGAUAUAUAUAGGCGGAAGAAAAACGUCAGGGGAGCCACGAGGGGCCCACGAGGGUGGAGGGCGCGCCCAGGGGGUGGGCGCCCCCCUGCCUCGUGCCUCCCUCGUUUCUUUCCUGACGUGCACUCCAAGUCUAUCGGGUUGCUUUCUUUCCAAAAAUAACUUCUCCAGAAGGUUUCAUUCUGUUUCGACUCCGUUUGAUAUUCCUUUUCUUCGAAACACUGAAACAAGGGGAAAAAACAGGAACUGGCACUGGGCUCUGGGUCAAUAGGUUAGUCCCAAAAAUAAUAUAAAAGUGCAUAGUAAAGCCCACAAAACAUCCAAGAUGGAUAAUAUAAUAGCAUGAAUACUUCAUAAAUUAUUGAUACGUUGGAGACGUAUCACACACCAUCUCUCUGUAGGAGUAGGUCGAUCUAUAGCUCUCUCUAACACACACAUGCUGUUAAACACACACACAUACGCACACGCACACAUAGAUUCAUAGAAUAGGAAAAUCGUGCGAGUGCGAAGCUACAGGAAGUGAGAUACAAAUGGAGUACGUACAAGAAGAGAAGAGGUGACGAAUAUUCCAUCAAACAUGGACUGAGGAGUAGUACUCCCUCCGUCUAGGUGUUAAGUCAUCUUACGGAAAUCAGAUAUUCCCAAAAUGUUUAGGCAUCGUCCAUUAACUUCGCAUCUCAAUCCCCUCCUGGCCUCGUUGCUAGCGAGCGUUGUUACUUAGGGGGCAUUUGGAUCCUUAGCAAGAAUAGCUUAUAGCAUAGCCGGGCAAGGUUAGGCGUUUGGAACUGUUAAAAUAUGUUAGCUUUUGUGGGCCAGCUAGCUUGGGUGGGCUAGAAAAACCUUGCUAGCUCAGGAGAGCCAGAUCGGCUCGCUUUCGAUGGCAAACUUCGCGUAGUAGUAACAUAGACUAGUAACAUAUGCAUGUUACUAGUCCAAGUUACUCACCACUAUGACCAACCUCAGCAAUGUAACCAAAUGCUCCUUACUCUGCCUUGUUAUCUCCCCCGGGAACCCAAUGCAUGGAGUGCAACUACGCGUUGAUCAGUCAAGAAAUCAAAGUCGGCUUGCAUGCGAGUUAAUACGUGGCCCUGCAUGGUAGCUAAAACGACAUCUCUUAGUUGUUUGGAUUAAUUGUUGCGUUUAGAGACAGAAAUCAGGGCUUUGAUUGGAGGAAUGUGAUGUCUACUACGCAACCUUCUUCUUGUAGACGUUGUUGGGCCUCCAAGUGCAGAGGUUUGUAGGACAGUAGCAAAUUUCUCUCAAGUGGAUGACCUAAGGUUUAUCAAUCCAUGGGAGGCGUAGGUUGAAGACGGUCUCUCUCAAGCAACCCUGCAACCAAAUAACAAAGAGUCUCUUGUGUCCCCAACACACCCAAUACAAUGGUAAAAUGUAUAGGUGCACUAGUUCGGCGAAGAGAUGGUGAUACAAGUGCAAUAUGGAUGGUAGAUAUAGGUUUUUGCAAUCUGAAAUUAUAAAAACAGCAAGGUAACUAAUGAUAAAAGUGAGCGUAAACGGUAUUGCAAUGUGUUGAAACAAGGCCUAGGGCUCAUACUUUCACUAGUUCAAGUUCUCUCAACAAUAAUAACAUAAUUGGAUCAUAUAACUAUCCCUCAAGAUGCAACACAGAGUCACUAAUAGCGGAGAACAAAUGAAGAGAUUAUGGUAGGGUACGAAACCACCUCAAAGUUAUCCUUUCUGAUCGAUCUAUUCAAGAGUCUGUAGUAAAAUAACAUGAAGCUAUUCUUUCCGUUCGAUCUAUCAUAGAGUUCGUACUAGAAUAACACCUUAAGAUACAAAUCAACCAAAACCCUAAUGUCACCUAGAUACUCCAAUGUCACCUCAAGUAUCCAUGGGUAUGAUUAUACGAUAUGCAUCACACAACCUCAGAUUCAUCUAUUCAAACCAACACAAAGUACUUCAAAGAGUGCCCCAAAGUUUCUACCGGAGAGUCAAGACGGAAACGUGUGCCAACCCCUAUGCAUAAGUUCACGAGGUCAUGGAACCCGCAAGUUGAUCACCAAAACAUACAUCAAGUACAUCACAUGAUAUCCCAUUGUCACCACAGAUAAGCACAUGCAAGACAUACAUCAAGUGUUCUCAAAUCCUUAAAGACUCAAUCCGAUAAGAUAACUUCAAAGGGAAAACUCAAUCCAUUACAAGAGAGUAGAGGGGGAGAAACAUCAUAAGAUCCAACUAUAAUAGAAAAGCUCGCGAUACAUCAAGAUCGUACCACCUCAAGAACACGAGAGAGAGAGAGAGAUCAAACACAUAGCUACUGGUACAUACCCUCAGCCCCGAGGGUGAACUACUCCCUCCUUGUCAUGGAGAGCGCCGGGAUGAUGAAGAUGGCCACCGGUGAGGGAUUCCCCCUCUGGCAGGGUGCCGGAACAGGGUCCCGAUUGGUUUUUGGUGGCUACAGAGGCUUGCGGCAGCGUAACUCCCGAUCUAUUCUGCUCCCUGGAGUUUUUAGGGUAUAUGGACAUAUAUUGGCGAAAGAAGUCGGUCAGGGGAGCCACGAGGGGCCCACGAGGGUGGGGGCGUGCCCAGGGGGGCAAGCGCGCCUUCCUGCCUCGUGGCCACCUCGUUGCUUCCCUGACGUACACUCCAAGUCUCCUGGAUUGCUUCCGUUCCAAAAAUAACUCUCCCGAAGGUUUCACUCCGUUUGGACUCCGUUUGAUAUUCCUUUUUUGCGAAACACUGAAAUAGGCAAAAAACAGAAACUGGCACUGGGCUCUAAGUUAAUAGGUUAGUCCCAAAAAUAAUAUAAAAGUGUAUAAUAAAUCCCAUAAACAUCCAAAACAGAUAAUAUAAUAUCAUGGAACAAUAAAAAAUUAUAGAUAUGUUGGAGACGUAUCAAGCAUCCCCAAGCUUAAUUCUUGCUCGUCCUCGAGUAGGUAAAUGAUAAAAACAGAAUUUUUGAUGUGGAAUGCUACCUAACAUAUUUAUCAAUAUAAUCUUCUUUAUUGUGACAAGAAUAUUCAGAUCCAUAAGAUUCAAAACAAAAGUUUAAUAUUGACAUGAAAACAAUAAUACUUCAAGCAUACUAACAAAGCAAUCGUGUCUUCUCAAAAUAACAUGGCCAAAGCAAGCUAUCCCUACAAAAUCAUAUAGUCUGGCUAUGCUCUAUCUUCAUCACACAAAAUAUUUAAAUCAUGCACAACCCCGAUGACAAGCCAAGCAAUUGUUUCAUACUUUUGAUGUUCUCAAACUUUUUCAAUCUUCACGCAAUACAUGAGCAUGAGCCAUGGACAUAACACUAUAGGUGGAAUAGAAUGGUAGUUGUGGAGAAGACAAAGAGGAGAAGAUAGUCUCACAUCAACUAGGCGUAUCAAUGGGCCAUGGAGAUGCCAAUCAAUAGAUAUCAAUGUGAGUGAGUAGGGAUUGCCAUGCAACGGAUGCACUAGAGCUAUAAGUGUAUGAAAGCUCAACAAAAGAAACUAAGUGGGUGUGCAUCCAACUCGCUUGCUCACGAAGACCUAGGGCAUUUUGAGGAAGCCCAUCAUUGGAAUAUACAAGCCAAGUUCUAUAAUGUAAAAUUCCCACUAGUAUAUGAAAGUGACAACAUAGGAGACUCUCUAUCAUAAAGAUCAUGGUGCUACUUUGAAGCACAAGUGUGGUAAAAGGAUAGUAGCAUUGUCCCUUCUCUCUUUUUCUCUCAUUUUUUAUUUUUUUAUUUGGGCCUUUUUUAUGGCCUCUUUUUUUAGUUCGGAGUCUCAUCCUGACUUGUGGGGGAAUCAUAGUAUCCAUCAUCCUUUCCUCACUGGGACAAUGCUCUAAUAAUGAUGAUCAUCACACUUUUAUUUACUUACAACUCAAGGAUUACAACUCAAUACUUAGAACAAAAAUAUGACUAUAUGAAUGCCUCUGGCGGUAUACGGGGAUGUGCAAUGAAUCAAGAGUGACAUGUAUGAAAAAAUUAUGAACGGUGGCUUUGCCACAAAUACGAUGUCAACUACAUGAUCAUGCAAAGCAAUAUGACAAUGAUGAAGCUUGUCAUAAUAAACGAAACGGUGGUAAGUUGCAUGGCAAUAUAUCUCGGAAUGGCUAUGGAAAUGCCAUGAUAGGUAGGUAUGGUGGUUGUUUUGAGGAAGGUAUAUGGUGGUUGUAUGAUAUCGGCGAAAGGUGCGCGGUAUUAGAGAGGCUAGCAAUGGUGGAAGGAUGAGAGUGCGUAUAAUCCAUGGACUCAACAUUAGUCAUAAAGAACUCACAUACUUAUUGCAAAAAUCUAUUAGUUAUCGAAACGAAGUACUACGCGCAUGCUCCUAGGGGGAUAGAUUGGUAGGAAAAGACCAUCGCUCGUCCCCGACCGCCACUCAUAAGGAAGACAAUCAAUAAAUAAAUCAUGCUCCGACUUCAUCACAUAACGGUUCACCAUACGUGCAUGCUACGGGAAUCACAAACUUUAGAACAAGUAUCUCUCAAAUUAACAACUACUCCACUAGCAUGACUCUAAUAUCACCAUCUUCAUAUCUCAAAACAAUCAUAAGGAAUCAAACUUCUCAUAGUAUUCAAUGCACUUUAUAUGAAAGUUUUUAUUAUAUCCCUCUUGGAUGCCCAUCAUAUUAGGACUAAAUUCAUAACCAAAGCAAAUUACCAUGCUGUUCUAAAGACUCUCAAAAUAAUAUAAGUGAAGCAUGAGAGUUCAUAUAUUUCUUCAAAAUAAAGCCACCGCCGUGCUCUAAAAGGAUAUAAGUGAAGCAUUAGAGCAACCGACAAACUACUCCGAAAGAUAUAAGUGAAGAUCAAUGAGUAGUUGAAUAAUUAUGUAACUAUGUGAAGACUCUCUAACAUUUAAGAAUUUCAGAUCUUGGUAUUGUAUCCAAACAGCAAGGAAAACAAAAUAAAACAAAAUGACGCUCCAAGCAAAACACAUAUCAUGUGGUGAAUAAAAAUAUAGCUCCAAGUAAAGUUACCGAUGAACAAAGACGAAAGAGGGGAUGCCAUCCGGGGCAUCCCCAAGCUUAGGCUCUUGGUUGUCCUUGAAUAUUACCUUGGGGUGCCUUGGGAAUCCCCAAGCUUAGGCUCUUUGCCACUCCUUAUUCCAUAGCCCAUCGAAUCUUUACCCAAAACUUGAAAACUUCACAACACAAAACUUAACAAAAAACUCGUAAGCUCCGUUAGUAUAAGAAAAUAAAGCCAACACUUAGGUACUGUUGUGAACUCAUUAUAAAUUCAUAUUGGUUCAAUAUAUACUGUAUUCCAACUUCUCUAUGCCUCAUACCCUCCGAUACUACUCAUAGAUUCAUCAAAAUAAGCAAACAACACAUAGAAAACAGAAUCUGUCAAAAACAGAACAGUCUGUAGUAAUAUGUAUCAUUCGAAUACUUCUGUAACUCCAAAAAUUAUGAAAUAAAUUUGUGGACCUGAGUAAUUUGUCUAGUAAUCAUCUGCAAAAAGAAUCAACUAAAUAUCACUUUCCAGUAAAACGUUGUAGCUAAUCUCGUGAGCGCUAAAGUUUCUGUUUUUUACAGCAUGAUCAUAAAGACUUCACCCAAGUCUUCCCAAAGGUUCUACUUGGCACAAACACUAAUUAACACAUAAAACCACAUAUAACCAGAGGCUAGAUAUAUUAUUUAUUACUAAACAGAAGCAAAAGGCAAAUAACUAAAAUAAAAUUGGGUUGCCUCCCAACAAGCGCUAUCGUUUAACGCCCCUAGCUAGGCAUGAUGAUUUCAAUGAUGCUCGCGUAAAACAUAAGAAUUGAAACAUAAAGAGAGCAUCAUGAAGAAUAUGACUAGCACAUUUAAGUCUAACCCACUUCCUAUGCAUAGGGAUUUUGUGAGCAAAUAACUUAUGGGAACAAUAAUCAACUAGCAUAGGAAGGCAAAACAAGCAUAACUUCAAAACUUUAAGCACAUAGAGAGGAAACUUGAUAUUAUUGCAAUUCCUACAAGCAUAUAUUCCUCCAUCAUAAUAAUUUUCAGUAGCAUCAUGAAUUAAUUCAACAAUAUAACCAGCACCUAAAUCAUUCUUUUCAUGAUCUACAAGCAUAGAAAUUUUAUCACUCUCCGCAUAAGAAAAAUUCUUCUCAUUCGGAAUAGUGGGAGUAUCAUAAGAAACUCGAAUACUAUAAAUUGUUUGCACAUUAAAAGAGUAAUGUUCAGAAAAAGGGUAAUCAUAAUCAUGACAAUUUUUAUAAAUAUAAUCAUCACUACUAUUUAUGGCAUAAGUGUCAUCACAAGAAUCAUCAUAAAUAGGAGGCAUGCUAUCAUCAUAAUAAAUUUGCUCAUCAAAACUUGGGAGACUAAAAAUAUCAUCUUCAUUAAACGUAGCAUCCCCAAGCUUGGGACAAACAUUAAUUGCAGAAAAUAUAUUCUCAAAAACAUCAUCUUCAUCAAACAUAGCAUCCCCAAGCUUUGGCCUUUUCAUAUCAUAAGAAAAAUCACUCUCAUCAUUAAUAGUAUGGAUAGCUCCAAUAGUAUAGCAAUUAUCAUCUUCACAAUGAGUAAUAGGAGCAACAUCAUUUGGGAGAGAUACCUUUCUACCUUUGCUUCUCCGUCUUUUCUUUUUCUUCUUCAUAUCAUGUGCGGGUUUAACCCUCUCUUUUGAGCUCCUUAUUAAUGAGAUUGGUUGAAUAGAAAGCUCCUCUUCGUUCCCUGAUUCAUCAUAAGAAAUAAUAGGAGGAUAUUGGGAAGUCUCUUCCCUUUCAUUAGUAUUCUCUUCAUCUUCUAUUUGUUUUCUUUUCUUUAUGUAAUUGGCAAUAUAAGGAUUUUCAAUACAAUUCACCGCACAAUACAUAUAAAUUUCUUCUAGAUCAAAAUUAAGAACUCUAUCAAUGGCAAAUUCUGGAAUAAUCUUAGUUAUACGUUUCAUUUAUUCAUAACCCAAGAGCAAACUAAGUUCAUUAUGACGUGCAAGGGAAAUCAAGUCAUCACAAUUUUUGGACAUGAUACGAUCAUGAAACAAUUUGCAUUGCGUACUGAAAUGAUCACGUUCAUUGCAAAGUUCACAAGUACGCCUAAGAAAAUUUAAAUUUUCAGCACAAACAUCUAGCCUUUCUUGCAACCAUUUAGUUUCCAAAUACUUAUGCCUCUUGCAAAAUCUAUUUUCCUUAAUUGGUAUGUACUUGCAAACUCUAUGCACUCCACAAAAAUCGACAUGCUUAUAAGAGAUAUUUUCAUCAAGACUAGCGCAAUCAUCAUUAGUACUAUGGAUAUUCAAGGAGUUCAUACUAAUAACAUUGCAAUCAUGCUCAUCAUUCAAAGAUUUAGUGCCAAACAUUUUAUAGACUUCUUCUUCUAGCACUUGAGCACAAUUUUCCUUUCCAUCAUUCUCACGAAAGAUAUUAAAAAGAUGAAGCGUAUGAGGCAAACUCAAUUCCAUUUUUUUGUAAUUUUAUUUUAUAAACUAAACUAGUGAUAAAACAAAAAACCGAAAGAUUCGAUUGCAAGAUCUAAAGAUAUACCUUCAAGCACUAACCUCCCCGGCAACGGCGCCAGAGAAGAGCUUGAUGUCUACUACGCAACCUUCUUCUUGUAGACGUUGUUGGGCCUCCAAGUGCAGAGGUUUGUAGGACAGUAGCAAAUUUCCCUCAAGUGGAUGACCUAAGGUUUAUAAAUCCGUCGGAGGCGUAGGUUGAAGAUGGUCUCUCUCAAGCAACCCUGCAACCAAAUAACAAAGAGUCUCUUGUGUCCCCAACACACCCAAUACAAUGGUAAAUUGUAUAGGUGCACUAGUUCGGCGAAGAGAUGGUGAUAGAAGUGCAAUAUGGAUGGUAGAUAUAGGUUUUUGUAAUCUGAAAUUAUAAAAACAGCAAGGUAACUAAUGAUAAAAGUGAGCGUAAACGGUAUUGCAAUGUGUUGAAACAAGGCCUAGGGUUCAUACUUUCACUAGUGCAAGUUCUCUCAACAAUAAUAACAUAAUUGGAUCAUAUAACUAUCCCUCAAGAUGCAACACAGAGUCACUCCAAAGUCACUAAUAGCGGAGAACAAACGAAGAGAUUAUGGUAGGGUAUGAAACCACCUCAAAGUUAUCCUUUCUGAUCGAUCUAUUCAAGAGUCCGUAGUAAAAUAACAUGAAGUUAUUCUUUCCGUUCGAUCUAUCAUAGAGUUCGUACUAGAAUAACACCAUAAGAUACAAAUCAACCAAAACCCUAAUGUCACCUAGAUACUCCAAUGUCACCUCAAGUAUCCAUGGGUAUGAUUAUACGAUAUGCAUCACACAAUCUCAGAUUCAUCUAUUCAAACCAACACAAAGUACUUCAAAGAGUGCCCGGAAGUUUCUACCGGAGAGUCAAGACGAAAACGUGUGCCAACCCCUAUGCAUAAGUUCACGAGGUCACGGAACCCUCAAGUUGAUCACCAAAAUAUACAUCAAGUAGAUCACGUGAUAUCCCAUUGUCACCACAGAUAAGCACAUGCAAGACAUACAUCAAGUGUUCUCAAAUCCUUAAAGACUCAAUCCGAUAAGAUAACUUCAAAGGGAAAACUCAAUCCAUUACAAGAUAUUAGAGGGGGAGAAACAUCAUAAGAUCCAACUAUAAUAGCAAAGCUCGCGAUACAUCAAGAUCGUACCACCUCAAGAACACGAGAGAGAGAGAGAGAGAUCAAACACAUAGCUACUGGUACAUAUCCUCAGCCCCGAGGGUGAACUACUCCCUCCUCAUCAUGGAGAGCGCCGGGAUGAUGAAGAUGGCCACCGGUGAGGGAUUCCCCCUCCGGCAGGGUGCCAGAACAGGGUCCCGAUUAGUUUUUGGUGGCUACAGAGGCUUGCGGCGGCGGAACUCCCGAUCUAUUCCGCUCCCCGAAGUUUUUAGGGUAUAUGGAUAUAUAUAGGCGAAAGAAGUCGGUUAGGGGAGCCACGAGGGGCCCAUGAGGGUGGGGGGCGCGCCCAGGGGGGUAGGCGCGCCUCCCUACCUCGUGGCCACCUCGUUGCUUCCCUGACGUACACUCCAAGUCUCCUGGAUUGCUUCCGUUCCAAAAAUAACUCCCCCGAAGGUUUCAUUCCGUUUGGACUCCGUUUGAUAUUCCUUUUCUACGAAACACUGAAAUAGGCAAAAAACAGAAACUGGCACUGGGCUCUAAGUUAAUAGGUUAGUCCCAAAAAUAAUAUAAAAGUGUAUAAUAAAGCCCAUAACAUCCAAAACAGAUAAUAUAAUAGCAUGGAACAAUAAAAAAUUAUACAUACGUUGGAGACGUAUCAGAAUGACCGGUCAAGUUUCUCCUUCUCCUCCAAUCUGCUUGCACCUUGGCCCCGCUGCACCUUCUAACAUGACUUAUUACACCUAGACGGAGGGAGUCGUACGAGAUACGGUGGCACACUGACUUAGGUUGAAUACAAGUGCCCAAAAUUGUGUGCAUGUUAUAAUAAGGAUUCACUUAAAAUAGUACGUGAGCGAAUAGAGGGAUCAAUUGGACAGUGUUCCCGACCAGUAGCGAGAUGUGUGAGGUAAGAUACACCGCUGGCGCUUUUAAUUUUUCUUAUUAAUUUGUUUGUUUCACCCUCUGACUGGUGGGACCCAACGUACUACGUGGAGAGAGGUAAGGUGACUAAGGCUGCAUUAUUUUUGCACCACUGUGGAUAGUCUUACCACCAAAGCCACAUGACACGAUUAUGAUUAAAAUCCCAAUGACUCCCACACACACAAAAAAUGGCAUGCUCACACGAAUGCAGGAAUGUAUAAAAGGUUAUCUUCCUCUCGUUGAACAUAAUGGGAGGGUUGUGUAGCUGGUUAGCCUGUUCGCUCAUCAAACUUGAGGUCUCGGGUUCGAUAACUACACUUGAGCAUAAUUCGUGCCAGGAGGAUUCUUUGACUGGUCAAAAUGGAUGGAUACGGAGCUAUACGAUCAGCUGCAGCCUCGACGCUUGUUUUCUAGGGUUUGCACUCUUCACACUCUCUCCAGUAUAUAUAUACAUGCUGGAGCCUCUGCGCUUGUAGUUGCUGUCUUCACACUCUCUUACCCUCUUCAGAUCUAAACAAGACUUCAUUGGCCUCUCUCUCCCCUCACUGCUGGUCUGCUUGUAGUUGCUCUCUUCACACUCUCCCACCCUCUCCAGAUCUAAACAAGACUUCAUUGGCCUCUCUCUCUCUCCCCCCACUGCUGGUCAAAGAGCCGACAGGAUCCGUCCGUCAGGAAGGGAAGGAGGCUUAACGUUGUCACCGUCGGCGAGGGAGGGAAUCCACUACUGGCGUAGCUGUUCACUUUCACCCAGCGGCGGCGUGGGAGGGCCUUCGACCCCUUCUUCUUCGCCACCGUACAUAGUGUGGGCCGAACGGCCUCCGGUCGCCCACCGAACCACACCCCAAGAACCUUAAGGUAUAAUUUACUUAUUCCACAUGCAUUGCUCUAGCUGCAUGUGUGUUUUUUCCGCUUCUGCACUCGAAUCUAGGUGUUGGAUCAAAUAGGAAAGUAGUGGGGAAAGUUGUAUACCAUGAAUCUAGGACGUGGUUCAAAGAGGAAAGGAAUGGGGGAAAGUAGUGGGAAAAGUUGUAUAGCAUGAAUCUAGGACGUGGUUCAAAAAGGAAAGGAAGGGGGAAAGUAGUGGGGAAAGUUGUAUCGCAUGAAUCUAAGGCGUGGUUCAAAGAGGAAAGGAAUGGGGGAAAGUAGUGGGGAAAGUUGUAUAGCAUAAAUCUAGGACGUGGUUCAAAGAGGAAAGGAAGGGGGGAAAGUACUAGUACAGACUGGCUAUCUAGCACCUACGUUGGUCGAAAAGGGAAAACAAUGACAAACGUAGUACGCACAUCUGUAACGAACUGACCUUUUGUUUUGGGGGACAAGGCUGUAGAGUUUGAGCAGGACUAGAUUUGCUGCGCUCACAUAGGGAAAGGUGUCUAAAGAUAACAAAACUGGGACCAACACAAAUAUGCUCCUUGGUUGUUUGUUCUUUGUUGCAACACACUGUGCAUAACCCAGUACAUCGGUAGAUGCACAUGGUGCUGGUGCGUCCACUGUCCUGUGGAACUCUUUAGCUGUUGUUAAUCUAAGGCCCUGUUUGGUUAAAAACUCCCUAGUCCCUACCUGCUUGGUUCUAGGGACUAAACAUGGACUAGAGGUUAUUAAAUGACAUGCUAAAAGACCAUGUUACCCCUAGUAAUGAACUAAUAGAGACAAGGUGCGAUGCGUGGCAGGGCAACUGUUGGAAAAAGUCCCAAAAAGACUCUCCCUCAGGGUCUUCUUUCUUUAGUCCCAAAUGCCCACUUUUAGUCCCUAAAAGUCCCUCAUGUUUGGUUUAGAUGGGACUGACACGGAGUUUUUUUAGUCCCUCCACCAAAAUGUCCCUGUAAACAAACACCCUCUAAUAAUGCCGCUGGAAAAUUGAUGCAGUGCCACAGUUAAAAGCAAAUUACAUGUUUAGCGAAUUUUAUUGUUAAUAUAAUCUCUCUGUUAAUAUUAAUCAAUGCCACCGUUUGAGAAAUGCUACUGUCUUGCUUUCUUUCCCAUUUAGAUAAGGUAGGUGCUUCUUUUUGUUGGCUUCUGUGUCAUCCACCGUUAUUGACCACUAGUUGUUUCCUUUGCACCUGUGUGUAAACAGGGUUAUCUACUUCACCUCGUUGCCAUUGUGACCUUUUGUUGCACUGCGCAAAACACUUUUGUUUUAAGAGUGUUUUGUGCAGUUCAACCAAAAUGUCACACCGACAAUGUUGCUUGAUUGCUUGAUCUUAGUGGAACUGCACAAGAGGAGAUCUUACUUCCUAUCCUUGUUGGCAAAUUUGGUUCAGAUCUUCUUCUUGUGAGUUGUUUGAAUUCCGCGUCAUGAGAGGUUAGUACAAGCCUUCUUUCACAUGAUUCUGCAGUGUGCUUUAAUAUGUGGUGCUACUUGUACGGUAAUGUUGCUUGAUUUUAGUGAACUGCACAAAUGGAGACAAGACUUCCAAUCUGUAUGUGCACCGUAAUAUCCCAUUGAGGUAAGAUAAGGAUAUUUCGCAACUGUUGGCCUGUAUUUUGCCACUUUCAUCAGAAAACUAAUGUCAUUGUUUAGUGCUAUACUUGUGCAACCUAAUUGACAUGCCAAAUCUUACAUUGAAGGCGAAGCUUAUCUGUUAUUGAACCAAGUGAUGAAGGGGAAGAACAAGCGGAAGAAAAACAAAAAUCAACUCCCGGUGCUGUAAUGAAGCACUAGAACUGUGAUGACAUAAGUAAUGAUAUAGUUUUGCAUCUUAAUUUAUUGCUAUGGCUGGAACGAGCAAUUGUUUUGCCAGUGAUUUGAUGCCACUCUUAAUGUAAUUCGUAAUUAUCUCUACUUGUGCAAACAGGGAUCUUCUUUGAAGAUACCAUAUAUUUUAGUGGAACUGUACAAGAAGAUGUUGGAAACAUUAAACUAAUCAAGGAGUAUAUAGUAAGCAUGGCCACCACAGUAGAUAGCAACAGAUGGUUCCGGAGAAGUGCUUCAUCUGUAUGCUCUACACAAUAAGCCUCCUGACAAAGGUUGGUACUCGCCCACUGAUUUCAUCCAUAUAAUUGAGCUUUGUCAUCUCUAUUAGUGUUGUGCUACUGUUUAGAUACUGUCAUGAAAAAGUGGUAUUGUCCUUGAGAAGUGCUUCAUCUGUGUUGUUUUAAAUAUUUCCUUUCCUUUUUUUCGAGCAAACAGGGAUGCUAGCAUUUAGUUGUCCUCUUAUCUUUGCACAACAGGAUCAUCCUCCUCUGAAGAAGAAUAUGGAGUAUGUGAAGUGACUAGUUCCGAUUAUGCCAGGAUGAAGAAGCCCUGUCUAUCUUCUCAUCAGAAGGGGCAGUUGAAGGAUGGUUACAUUACUCCCCACAAGACCAAACUAACUUCAGCUUAGAAGGACUGACAAAUCUCCAUUUUCUUGCUGUGAUGCGCGAAUACAAUGUUGUUCUAGGAUUCUUUCCGGUGAGUUCCAUUUUUCUAAAAGUGUGCUCUACAUGGACCAUGUAGGUGCCUGUUUAAACUGUCAACUCAUAGUACAGUUUGCUUUAUACUAAUCACUUUUUUUGUAUUUGUGCAAACAGGGGUGCUCAGCUUGAUUUCAAUGGGAACUGCACAAAAUGUUCAUGAAUACAUCGAAUCAUUCAUUUCCACCACAAGAAAGGAGGUGCCGAUAAGUUCAAGGCGUUGCAACAUAUAAGGGCGAAAUCAUACAAGCUACGCACGAAUUUGGUUGAUUUUGGUGGAACUGCACAAAAAGAACAGCUGGUUUAUUUAGCACGAGGUGCCAUGUCAAUGUCCAAACUGAUGGCAAACCAUGCCCAUUCCACAAUCGUAGGCAUUUGAUAUUUUGGAAUGGGACAACCUUGUCAAAUUUUGCUCAUUGAUUUUAGCAAGAAGACAUGCGUUUGAUAUUUUCGAAUGGGACGCCCUUUGCUGUCAGCAGCGUCGAUCCAUUUUUUCUUUAUUCUUUAGUUGUGAAGUAAAUAUUGGCUCUGACAUGUGAAUCGCUGAGAUGCAUAAUCAUCGAUUGUUUUGAAUGUUCUCUGUGAAUUGCCAUUCCUGUGUGUUUGAUUGCAAUGUACAGGAAUGCUAAAAAGCUGCUCAAACUCUUUGUACUCCUUCUGUUCCUUUUUACUUUGCACAUUGUGAAAGUCCAUACUUUUUUCUAUAAGAUUGGUCAAAGUAGAGAUACUUUGACUGCAGACAAAACUUGUAUGCAGACUAGAAAGGACCGGAGGGAGUACAUGUGAAACAGCUGCAAACGAGGUGAUCACCCUGGGAAUAAUGCUAGUACGUAUUGUUUUGCAUGUUCAUGCAAUGCCAGUGAUACAAGAAUUCGAACUAAUCAAAAUAAAUUGAUUCAUACACGGUCGGAUUUCAUAUAAACAUGCCGGAUUUCAUUACAUUUCAUAUAAUCUUCAACUAAAAAGGGGUGCGCUGGAGGUAUAAUUAAUUAACUGAAGCUACCCACCUGUGUCCGGCUGAGACGAACAGAAGCUUCAGUGACUUAACUGCAGGUGCAGUUGCGUAACUGACAUGUGGCCCAGAUGCCUGUUGGGCCCACGUGUCAGUCAGCCAACUGCACCAGCAGUUAAGUAGAAGCAGCAUCCUUCUCCAACAUAGCUCUCCGACUCCACGUCGCCGCCAAGAAGCUAACUGGUCGUCAGUGGUCAACCAACCUAGCUUGGCUUCAACCGGAGGGUAGCAGCGGUGGCCUUACUUGGACCCGAGCGGCAGCGACCUACCGUGUUCUACUCUUCCUCGUUUUCUGUGUGGCGCGACCUCGUUGGCAGCGGGGCGGGGCCUCAGCGGAGCCGGCGAUGUCCUCUAUCUCGUUGCCGGCGGGCGGCGCCUCGGCGGAGCGGGGGAAAUCCUCCCCCUCGUUGCUGGCAGGGUGGGGCCUCGGCGGAGCCGGCGGUGUCCUCUGCCUCGUUGUUGGCGCCGCGGGGCCUCGGUGGAGCAGGGCCUCGUCGACGCCAGCGGAGCGGUGACUCGUCGGAGCCGACAUUGUCCUCUGCCUCAUCCUCGGUCUCGCCAAACAGUGCCUCGCCCGCUUCAUCGCCCUCUUUGUAGGCGGCCGCAGCCUCCGCCAGCGCUCGAGGCGGCCCUCACGGGCGGAGCGGUAUGAGUCGAGCAGCGCCUCCUGCUCUGCCCGCUCCGCGGCGAUCUGCUCCUCCGCCUGUAGGUGCUCCUGGAGGAGAUGGUGGUUGUAGGCGGCGUCGGCCUGCGCCUCCCGGAACUGCUCCUCACGCUUCUGCCUCACCGUGUCCAUAUAUUGGGCACAGGCCUUGCCGAUGGUCAUGGUGCAAUGCACCGGCGAGGAUGGCGCAGAGGAGGGGGUUGGCGCCAGAUCAUCGACUACCAUGUUCUCCUUGGGACGUCGUCGUCCUCCGGCUGCCUGCCGGCCAGCCAGUCGGCAGCAAUGGCUGCCAUCUCCUUGUGGUCCGUCGUCUGCCCGUCCUGAAGAGCGUUGGAGCGUGAGGAAGCCAUGGUGGGCAGUAGUGGUGUGGACAGGAGAAAGGGAACAGAUGUGGAUGACUGCGGCUAUGGCCGGCGCAGCAGUUUAUAUAGCAAUGGUGGGCGGCGGAGGGACGGACGUGUGGCGCCGGAGUAGCCGCCUCGGCAACCACGUAUCAUUAAUGUGGGCGGCAGAAGGAUGGACGGACGGCACUUGUGUCGUUUGAAGGCGGAGCAAUCGCCUGCACCAGGAAGCGGGGCGGGCGGCGCUGACAGUUUUGGGCGGAAAGCGCGCGCGGGCGAGGGAGGCGGUCUGGGUGGGCCAGGGCAGUCAGACUCGUGCUUGGCAGCGGGUCGGUCCAGCAGCUGUACAUGCUGGCUUGCCAGCUAGCUCGCCGAGCUGAGCGACGACAAUCAGACGAUGGACGUAGCUUCCGACCAGGAGCCGGCGCCACUGUCCAAGCCGGUUCAUGCCGUGUUCACCAUAGAGCAGGUGCGGCCGCACUUCGACGCCCUAAUGGCGGAAGAGCUACCAGCGCAGGAGGACCUGUGCUGCAACCUCCGUCUCCUCAACGAGCACCGGUGAACAAGCGAACGACAAUGCCGUCGCAGACAUGUGGCCCUAUGAUCCUGGCUUCCUGAAUGAGUAGCGGGCGCUGUAUCAGGCCAUCUGUAGGGCCCGCAAGCCCCUCUCCGUCGUCCUUCGAGUUGUUGCGCUCGCCGUGGCACCGCCGUCUCGCGUUGUCAACAUGGUCAACAGACAUGAGGAUGAGGAGAUGACUAUACUUGGAGAGGAUGACAGUGGGGACCCACCUGGGCCAUAGCCGCACGUAUGCAAGUGCCUCCUUAUUAGUAUAUAAAACUAUAAUUUUUUUUGCUUCCUCCUAGUCUCCUGACAUCACGGUCCCACACCAUUGUCAACCUAUGUACUCAAUAAACGAGAGAAUUGCACAAGAAGCGGCCGACAGCUGGGACCAAGCAGCUCGAGCAGUAUUUGUGUUUUUGAGGUGUGAGCACUGCAGAGUUUUUCUUGAGCGAUGUUUAGCCCAGAUAUUAUUUUUUCUCCUCUGAACAACAACAAAAACAUCGCUGCAGGUAUUAACUGGGCGGGCUGUGGCCCGUCUAGCCCAGGCCAGAUAUCCAGCCCAGAUAUUAAUUUUUUUCAAGCUGAAAAUGGCUAGCCCAGCUAUACUUUUUUAGGAAUACCCAGGCAAGGUCAAGUAGUUAUUCUCCGCCCCACUGGGCUGCAAAUCUUUCCUAGGAGGGUUGCAUUAGGCUUAACAAGAAAAUGGGCUUUAAAAAAAUAAUAAAUAAGAUGUAAUUAUAAAAACUGGGCAGUAACUAUAAAAAAUGCACCAAACAUGUAAUUACUUUAUAAAAUAUUAUUUUUGGAUAUUGAAAAUUUUAAUUUCAUUAAUUGUUGCGAGCGCAAUGUUUUGUUGGAUUUUUAUGUAAUAUAAAUUUAUAUUGAAAUUUUAUUUAAUCUGACUAGAAAUUUCGGGAUAAAAAUAUUUCGGAUCCCAUCAAAAUGUGGGAAAUUUUAUUGAAUUCUGUUUUGAACGGUUGGUUGAAAUGGGCUGUACUUUUAACAAACUAUAAAUGGGCUGUAGUAAAUUCCAUUAGAAUUCAAAAAUUGGCUGCACAUUCUUACAAAUCUCAAAUGGGCUAUAAGUUCUCUGCCACACACUUGUGGUCUUACUAAGUUGACGCGUCCCCUAAAAAAAAGAGUUGACGCGUAUGCAAGGCUUUGUCAACUUAUAGUCAACACACGGUUCUAGCAGCAGUGGCCGUUGGAUGUCCAUCCAACGGAUGCCGUGCUUCUUCUUCAAUCUCGGAUAUUCUAGCUUCACCCGCCCAAAAAAUGAUUCCUCCCUUGACAUCUGGGGUGCACCGUUUCGGAAGCUGACCUGUGGGCCUACUAAGUUGACGCGUACCAAGGGCUUUUUCAACUUAGUCAAUAUAAACGAUUCUAGCUGUAGUGACCGUACGAUGUCUAUCCAACGGCUGUCGUGCUUCUUAACCUCUGGUCUUCUUGCUCCAGCCGCCGAAAGCAGCGCCGGUCGUGCCGCCUGCUCCUGCCUCCCGUGGUCGGAUGUGCUGCCGCGGAGGCCUCACCGCCCCUACUACUCCCACCACUGGCCAGGCCAUCCCUCCACUCACCCACACCCCCUGUUAUUUUGCGGCGAUGGCAGCCUCACACCGCAGCCGAACCAGUGAACCCUCGUACUCCUCUCUGUGUGGUAUCCACUCCCGCGUCUUCCCCGGCUCCACGUCGUCCCCUUCCUAGGCCUCGCCGUCGUCCACCGCCGUGGUGCUCUCGACGCGGCGUGGUCAAUGUGGUCAACGACCGACUUCCAUCGGAAGAGUACUGUAUGUGGAGAGGCUGACAACUGGGUCCACGGAAGCCGCAAGGAAGUGCCUCCUUAUUACGCAGAAAAUAAUGAUUCCUCCACCUGACAGCAGGGACCCACCGGACGGGCAACCGUAUUUCACGAAAAAAAUUCCCCCCCUGACUGCUGGGACCUACCAGCUACAUCUUCGCAUGCAAGGAAGUGCGUCCGGGCAAAAAACAAUGAUUCGCCCCCCUGACUACUGGGACCCACCAGCUACAUCUUCGCACGCAAGGAAGUGCCCGACAGUCGGGACCCACCUGGUCGAAGAGUACGUUGCAUUGUCAUUCUGGUCGCGAAUGUGUACGUACAUACUGGUCGAGGCGCGCACGUGUCGUAGUAGAGGCACACACGUAGCAUGUACACGUACUUACAGCGGCCAGGGUGCAAGAAAGUAAAUACGGCCACAUACGUACAUACGAGCAGGGUCUCGAACGCCUACUCGCGCGUACGUACGGCCAGGGCUCGUAUACAUGGCUGGGUCGGAACGGAGAAACUGUGUCGUCGUCGUGUUCAUGGGGAGGCAACGGAAUGCGUCGUGUUCAUCGGGAGGCAACAAAACGCGUGGGAGCCAAUCGGCUUGGACGGAACAGCCGAUGGAAACGAGGCCUGGCGUACCGCACAAUGGAGGAAACGGCCUUGUGUUCGACCGGCCAGGUUCGAAACGGGAUCCUGUUCAUCAGGAGGGGUCUGGUGUACCGCAAAAUGGAGGAAACGGACCUCCUACGGUCGAAACAGGUCCUGUUGAUCCGGAGGGGUGUGGCGUGCCGCAAAACGGAGGAAACGGGCUUGUGUUGGAGCGCUACGGUCGAAACGGGGGUCCUGUUCAUCGGGAGGGGUGUGGCGUACAGCAAAACGGGACUCCACGGGAUACUGUUCAUCUCCACCGUCGACCCCCUCCAGCCUCCACGAGCUACUGUUCAUCCAUUGUCGACCUCCUCCAGCCUCCACCCGCGACUGUUCAUCCACGGGCUCCUGUUCAUCCAGCCUCCACCGCGCGCUACUCCACCGGCUACUGUUCAACCAGCCCUCUCCACAGGCUCCUAUUCAACCACCCCUCCACGGUCUACUAUUCAUCCAGCCCUCCACCGUCUACUGUUCAUCCAGCCCUCCACGGGGUCGUCCUAUUCAUCCAGCCCUCCACGGGGUCCUGUUCAUCCAGCCCCAACCGGCUCGAUCGAUCGGGGUCCUGUUCAUCCAGAGGCAACACCACGGGGUCCUGUUCAUCCACCCCCACCGGGAACUGUUCAUCCAAACCCCCCUAGCAACGCUCACUGUUGAUCCAGAGGCAGCAUCGAUCGCCUUCAGUUAGCAGCAGUAGCGAAGGAAUCGCUCGAUCGGGUUCAGUUAACAGCCAUCGAUCGACCGCUCAGGUUCAGUAACGCGUAGCCUGCAGUGCAAUCGCUCGGGUUCAGUAGGCGAAUGCCUCGCUCGGGUUCAGUUAGAGCCCAACGCCUCACACCCACGCACGUGUGUGUACGAGAGAAACGCGCAAACCUCCGUGCAUCACUCGGCCCCGACCACCCACCGUAAUCGGGAACACCCCGAUAUUUUCCUCGCCCUCGCUUCUACCACGGUUUUUCCGUCAUGGACGGCCCAAAGAAUGUCAUGCAGCUGCGUCUCCGGCCCGCCCAGGACGAAAAGCCCAUUUUCAGUCAUGAUUUUUUGUCAUAGAAGUAGGAGCCCACCACAUCUAUGAUGAUACUGGGUUUUGCCACAAUUAUCGUCAUAGAAGUGUCAUAAGUAUGACAGAAAAAAAAUUCGUUCGGCCCAAAAUGUCACGGAUGUGUCUUUUUUUGUAGUGCAUGAAGAAAGCAAUAGCAUUAUACUAAACGAUAAAAUGCUAAGCUAACGGAAUGGGUCAAGUCAAUCACAUCAUUCUCUAAUGACGUGAUCCCGUUAAUCAAAUGACAACUCGUGUCAAUGGCUAGGAAACUUAACCAUCUUUGAUUCAACGAGCUAGUCAAGUAGAGGCAUACUAGUGACACUUUGUUUGUCUAUGUAUUCAGGCAUGUACUAAGUUUCCGGUUAAUACAAUUCUAGCAUGAAUAAUAAACAUUUAUCAUGAUAUAAGGAAAUAUAAAUAACAACUUUCUUAUUGCCUCUAGGGCAUAUUUCCUUCAGUCUCCCACUUGCACUAGAGUCAAUAAUCUAGAUUACACAAUAAUGAUUCUAACACCCAUGGAGUCUUGGUGCUGAUCAUGUUUUGCUCGUGAGAGAGACUUAG